RNAcentral lists this long non-coding RNA (76232 nucleotides) under Gossypium barbadense (sea-island cotton). The record is from RNAcentral. Lineage: Eukaryota; Viridiplantae; Streptophyta; Magnoliopsida; Malvales; Malvaceae.
CCUGGAAAAGUAAAGGCUACAUUGAAACCUAAAGGUGGGGUGGCUAAGGAAGGAAACUGUUUUCAUUGUAGUGUGACUGGACAUUGGAAGCGGAACUAGUUGUUGCAUUAACUGUGGGAACAUAUAAUUUAUCUUUGCCUAGUGGACUUGGUUUAUGUUUAGAGGAUUGUUAUUAUGUGCCUAGUUUGACUAAAAACAUUAUUUCAAUUUCUUGUUUAGACAAAAUUGGUUUUGAGAUAAUUAUUAAGAAUAAUUGUUGUUCAUUUUAUCUCAAUAAUGUUUUCUAUGGUUCGAUACAAUUGAUUAGUGGCCUCUAUAUUUUAGAUCAAAUGAAUCCCAUUUACAACAUAAAAACUAAAAUAUCAAAAAUAAAUGACUCAAAUCAAACUUAUCUAUGGCAUUGUCGUUUGGGCCACAUAAGUGAGGAACGCAUAUCCAAGCUCCAUAAAGAUGGUCUCUUAGAUUCAUUUGUUUUUGAUCAAUUUGAAGUAUGUGAAUCUUGCUUAUUGGGAAAAAUGACUAAAUCUCCUUUUACUGGUAAAAGUGAACGAGCUAGUGAUUUAUUGGGCUUAAUAUAUUCUGAUGUAUGUGGGCCAAUAAAUACACAGGCUAGAGGAGAAUUUCACCACUUCAUUACUUUCACUGAUGAUUUUAGUAGAUAUGGGUAUGUCUAUCUCAUGUGUCAUAAGUCUGAGUCCCUUGAAAAGUUCAAGGAAUUCAAAAAUGAAGUACAAAAUCAACUAGGCAAAACUAUCAAGACACUUCGAUCUGAUCGAGGUGGGGAGUAUUUGAACUUAGAGUUUAAUGAUCUUUUGAAGCAAUGUGGGAUUGUCUCACAACAUACUCCUCCUGGUACUCCUCAAUGGAAUGGAGUUUCUGAGAGAAGAAAUCGAACUUUGUUAGACAUGGUUCAAUCCAUGAUGAGUCAUGUUGAUCAGCCGACUUUCUUUUGGGGACAUGCACUUGAGACAGCUACGUUCACACUAAAUCGUGUUCCAUCUAAAUCGGUUCAAAAGACGCCAUAUGAGAUGUGGACUGGGAAAUGUCCUAGUAUGUCUUUUAUGAAAAUUUGGAAUUAUGAAGCUUAUGUUAAACGUCAGACGUCUAAUAAGCUUGAACCCAAAUCUGAAAAGUGUAUUUUUGUGGGGUAUCCGAAAAAACCAAAGGAUAUUAUUUCUUUAAUCCCACUGAGAACAAAAUACUUGUUUCUCGGACUGGUGUCUUCCUAGAGAGAGAAUUUGUUUCUAGAAAAGGAAGUGGGAAAAAGAUUGAACUUGAAGAAAUUUGAGAAUCACAAAAUACCACUGAACCAGAGAUAGAACAACAGCAAGUUCCAUAAGGAAUUGAGGAACAAGUAACUGCUGUAGAAACACAACCACUGCUUAGAUCUUUAAGAGAACGCCAAGCACUUGAGAGAUAUGGAUUUCUCAUUACAACGCAUGGUGACGUUCUACUUGUAAAUCAAGAUAAGCCUAAGACUUAUCAAGAAGCGGUAACGAGCCCAGAAACUCUAAGAAAUGGCUUGAGGCCAUGAGAUCUGAGAUGGAUUCCAUGUAUGAAAACAAAGUAUGGACUUUGGUUGACCCACUUGAAGGGUUUAAACCCAUAGGGUGCAAGUGGGUUUUCAAAAAGAAAACUGACAUGGAUGGUAAUGUACAAACAUACAAGGGGCGAUUAGUCGCUAAAGGUUUUCGCUAAGUUCAUGGUGUUGACUAUGAUAAAACCUUUUCUCCUGUAGCUAUGUUUAAAUCCAUUAGGAUUUUGCUCACUAAAGCUGCAUUUCAUGACUAUGAAAUCUGGCAAAUAGAAGUCAAAACAGCUUUCUUUAACGGGAAACUUGAAGAGGAUGUGUACAUGACACAACCUAAAGGUUUUGUCAAUUCAGAGGAUGCUAGAAAGGUAUGUAAGCUACAAAGAUCCAUUUAUGGAUUAAAGCAAGCUUCUCGAAGUUGGAAUCUUCAUUUUAACGAUACAAUCAAAGAGCUUGGUUUUAUCAAAAAUGAAGAUGAGCCAUGUGUUUACAAGAAAGUUAGUGGGAGCACUAUAACAUUCUUGGUACUGUAUGUGGAUGACAUACUUAUCAUAGGAAAUGACAUACCUACCUUGCAGUCUAUUAAGACUUGGUUAGGAAGUUGUUUUUCUAUGAAGGACUUGGGCGAAGCCACUUACAUCUUAAGAGUGAAGAUCUAUAGAGAUAGAUCAAGACGACUACUAGGUCUAAGCCAAAGUACAUACAUAGAUAAAGUACUGAAAAGGUUCAGUAUGGAAGAAUCUAAGAAAGGAUUCCUACCUAUGAGACAUGGUAUUUCACACUCGAAGGAAAUGUGUCCUUUAACUUCACAAGAGAGAGAACGCAUGAGUAAAAUUCCAUAUGCUUCCGCUAUUGGAUCUAUCAUGUUUGCCAUGUUAUGUACCCAACCAGAUGUCUUAUAUGCCUUAAGUAUGACGAGCAGGUACUAAGUAGAUCCCGGUGAUGGUCACUGGACCACAGUCAAGAAUAUCCUUAAGUACUUAAGAAGAACUAAGGAUACGUUCCUAAUAUAUGGAGGUGAGGAAGAGUUAAGUGUAAAAGGUUGCACUUAUGCCAGCUUCCAAAUCGACAAGGAUAAUUCUCGAUCAUAAUCAGGUUUUGUGUUUUGCCUUAAUGGUGGUGCUGUGAGCUGGAAGAGUUCAAAACAAAGUACAAUAGCCGAUUCUACAACAAAGGCCGAGUAUAUUGUAGCCAGUGAGGCAACAAAGGUAGCGGUUUGGAUCAAGAAGUUCAUUGCUGAACUAGGGGUUGUGCCUAGCAUAUCAGAUGCUAUAGAACUCCGAUGUGAUAACAAUGGAGCCAUUGCACAAGCUAAAGAACCUAGAUCUCACCAGCGAUCUAAACAUAUACUUAGGCGCUACCAUCUUAUUCGAGAGAUUAUCGAUCGAGGGGAUGUAGAGAUAUGCAGAGUACCUACAAAUGAUAACAUGAAUAUGUGUGUUAGAGAACAACAUAUUGGACUGACCCAUUAUGAGUAUUUUUCUUGGAUUAUUAUGUAAUUGUCACAACAUUACUCAUAGUGAUUAAUAUGUAUAUGAUCCUCAGACUUGAGAUCAUCAUAAUCCCAACAUCGUGAGUUGUAUAUUUUGAUACAGUCAAACGUACACCGUAACUGGUUGUUCUAUAAAGGCUGAUGUUGGAUAUACCACGAUCUAUGUAGAGGGAUAUGGUUGAUCGAUAUAGGAUAUGUCCCUUCUACAUAAUGGAAGUAAUAUCUUAGGCCACUCGAUUGAGUGAGACUAGAAAUGCAUAGCCAUGCUCAAAUAACCUGAUAUGAGAUGUCAUACUUAUGUGUAUAUCAUAGUCUACUUAAGAUAUCAAGGAACAUGGAAUGGACUAUGCAAGUGUGACUAUUCCAUGACUUGUGUGCAGUCCAGAUGUAAAAGACUUAAGGAUUAUUGCAUAAAAGGUUAAUCAUAAAAAGUUUUUGUCGAAUCAUGAUUUGUUGUGACUUAGGUAGCAAUGAUGCAUUGCUAGGAGCCACUCAUUGUUUGUAACAUUGGAAUCGUUCUAGUAUUACUGCAAACGUUACAAGAACUUACAGGGUCACACCCUAUAGUUGAAAUAAACAGAAUAAAACAUAGUUGGUAUUGUGUUUGGUUGUCGCUUGAAUUAAAUUAAUUAUAGAAUUAAUUUAGUAGGAUAAUCAAAUAUCGAACACAUUAUGUACAAAGUUGUUAUACGCAUAAUAAGAACAUGAAUUUGGUUAGUAUAUAAAUUCAAAGAAAUAUAUAGUUUACCGAAAUCAUUAUUAUAAUUAAUGUAAUUAUAAUUUUUGGUUUAAAACAUUGUUAUAUUUAUUUAAUUUCUAGAAACCCUAAAUAUAGAUAUAAAAAUCUCGUUUUUUCUUUGCUUGGGGUCUAGCAGUCGUCAAAGUAAAGUCUUUUCCAAAACAGUUUUGGGGAUUCCUUCCUUUCAUUGUCAACUGGAUGGAUUACGUAGAGGCUAGAAUCACGAUAGAUUGCGGCUUGGUUCGAUAGUAGAUCAGAUUACUCGUUGCUGAGGCGUUGUUGUCUACUUAGAAUAAAGAUUUGGUAAUUUCAAAACCUUUAUUUCUCCCCGAUUCGUUCCUCACACAUGGAUCCAUGGUUAGGAUCGCUGAAUGUUUUAAUUUUCUGCUGCGCCGUAGGGGUGCCGACGUUCCACCAAAACCCUGGAGGUGUAUCUAACUUUAUAUUAGAUUAUGAUAUAUAUAUACAAUUAGUAUGGGUUAAGUAAUUAAAUUAUUUUGUAUUGUUAUGUGUUAGAUCCUAAACUACCAAGAAGGGGUGAAUUGGUAUUUUAAAAAUUUCUACAAACUUUUCUAAAUGUUAAAGAAUGAAAGAAAAGCUUGGACAAUUCGAUUUAUAGUGGUUCGACCCCAAAUGUCUACCUCCAUUACCUUAGCUUGCCAAAACUGAGGAUUUCUCAAAUUCAGUAUAUUUGAACCUUUCAAGGACAAUGUUUAACCUUUACAAAACACUAUCGUUUCACUAGGAAAGAUAGAGCCACUUCCCUUAAGGUUUUUUAACCCAAAGCCUUAAAUAACCCCUUACAAAGAUAAGAAAUAAGAACAAGAAUAAAAGACAGAUCCCAAGGGAAGAUAUUAUAAGGAUAAAUCUCACUCAAUAACAAUACAACACUUAAGAAGAAUAAGAAAGAUGGUUAUUCAAGUGUGUGUAUGAAGAACAAAAAGAAUAUGAGAAACGACUGGAUUUUUGUACAAUUAGCUUUACAAACAUUUUUUCUUGUCUUAAAUGUGGAGCUAUUGACUUGUAUUUAUGCCUUCUAACAACCACUGGAAUGUUGGAGACUGUUAUAGUUGUGUGACCCAAAUUCCUGUUAAAGAAAUAAAAUAUAAUGGCAAAAUAGGAGGAUUUGUGGCGGUGAAUGCUAUAGUUAUUGUAGAUCCUCAUUAGCCAUAAAACUAGAUUGGGGUCGUAACUGGGGGUACGGUAGUUAAAGGCCCCCGCGGCACGGUACAGGCUGUACAAGUAGAAUCCAUAUAGAAGUACAAUUCUUCUGUUUGACAUUAAUUAGAAUAAGGUUUUUCAACCACAUAAAAUCUGUGUGUUCUUAUUUUUUCUUUUUUAUUGCUUUUGCGAUCGUUCUAUAUAGCCAUUAUCGACGUUUUAUUUUUACAAACUAGUAUAAGAGCUUUUCAAGUUGUUUGUCCCAAUCACGAUAAUGGUGACAAUGAAGUAUGAUAUUCUACUGUUGGAUCGUAACACCAUAUUCACGUUGUAGUAGGUAAAGAUGCAAACAUUUAUUGUGCAGAUGGAUUUAGAGGAUGCCCUACUAGGGUUAGAUAAGAUGCCUUCGACUUUGAUGGAUGAAAAAAAUAAGCGUAAAGAUCGAAAGGCUUUAACACAAUUAUAAUUACAUCUGUCGAAUGAAAUUCUACAGGAUAUAUUGAAGGAGAAGAUCGUCGCUGCAUUAUGGAAGAAGCUGGAGCAACUAUGCAUGCCGAAAACCCUAACUAGCAGGCUGCAUAUGAAGAAACAUCUUUAAGCUUAUCGUUUGGAGGGAGGUGCAUCUGUGCACGAAAAUUUAACUGUGUUUAAAGAUAUUCUCUCGGUCCUAGAGGCCAUGGAGGUUCAAUAUGAUAAAGAAGAUUUGAGAUUGAUUUUACUUUGUUUGUUGCACAUGUCUUAUUCAACCUUUAGAGAUACGAUUUUGUAUAGCCGUAAAUAGCUCACUGUUGAUGAAUUUCAUAGUUCUCUAACCUUGUAUGACAAGAUGAAGCAUCUUUUGGUUGGAUUCGAAUCUUAGGGAGAGGGUCUCAUUAUUCGUGGAAGACAAGAAUGAAAUACUGAUGAUCAUCGUGAGAGGAUACAUAAAUGAAAUCCUUGAAAUAAAUUUAAAGGUAGAUUAAGAUCUUCAAACAAAGGUAAAACCUUUAACUAAAUUAUAAAAAAGUUAAAAUAUUAGGGGGAAAAUGGCAAUUUUGCAUAAAUAUGAAAUGUGGAUUAAAUUGAAUACCAGAAGUAUUAAAUUGAUUAAAAUUAUUUAUUUAGAUCAAGAUAAACCAUGUACGGACCUAGAUCAAGGUAAAACAAAAGCUUCGGAUUAGUUCGACCUAAUUUCUAUGCCCUAGUCAUCGAGGUAAGUUCGUAUGAACGGUUAUCGUAUUAAUGUUAUUUAAAUUGUAUGUUAUUAUGUUAAUUAUAAUAUUAAUGGAUCGAUGUAUAAACAAGUUAAUGCUAUGAUGAUUAUCAAGUCCCGGUUGAACCUUAGGAAUUCUUAGGAUACAAAUGACAUGUCAUUAGGGAUUUUCUGUUUUAGAUGCUGGUCUUGAAUGUCCUAUCGAUGUCUGAGGUCCUGCAUUUGUUGAGGAUAUGCCACAUCUCGUGUGAGCAGCAUCGUGCAGCUUACAUUCUAACCCACAACUCGUGUGAGCAAACCCAUUUCACAGUUCGUGUGAGCAAUAAAGUAAAGGAAAUGUUACGGUUAUAUGUAAAGGCACACUUUGUGCAAGCUUUCUCGAGUAUCCGAGCUAAUUCUAAAUGGUUCAACUGGAAAAAAAAGGGAACGUAAUGGUAAGUAUUCAAAUGGAAUUAAGCAUAAUCUUAUAGAAAGAAUUUAUGAAAUAAAUGAUAUGUUUCAUAUGGAAAAUGAUUUGUCUUAUGGUUAGUUCAUUUGAAUUAUGUAAAAGUGUGCUAACUUGUGUACUGACGGUGAUAUAUAGGCUUAUAUCAAGCAUAUGGUUUGGAUUAUACUAUAUUUAUGCUUUACAUUAUGCAAAUGAAAUGGUAAGUUAUGUUUGUUUAUACGAGCUUACUAAGCAUUGUUGCUUACGUAGUUUAUUUCCUAUGUUUUAUAGAUUAUCGAAAGCUUGAUCGGUUUAGAAGUUUGUUGGAGAUCUAUCUUACUAUCCAGAAGUCUUUUCGGCAGUUUUUUAACAUUUUGGCCAAUGGUUUAUAAUGGCAUGCAUAGGAUGAAUUGUAAUGGUAUUUUGAUGAUUGUUUAGUGGGUGUUUUGGCAUGUAGAAGUUUUGGAAGUUAACAUGGUUGAUACCAUUUGAUGCCUUGUCAAAUUGUGUCAUUUUGGUUAUCUUAACAGGCAUGUUUGUAUGGAUCUUUAUGAUAAAUUUGGAAUGGUAUAAUAACGGUCAAAUUUGUGGCAUGUUUUGGUAAGUUUUGAAAUAGGAUGCGAUGCUUGAAAUGUGGUAGCAUUAACAUGUUUAGGUAGGUGCUAUUUGUAUGCAUUUGUGGUACCUUUGAAUGAUAUAUUGGUUAGUUGAAUUAAGGUCUUGAAAUGACAUUUUGAAGUGUGUUUUGGUGAUGUUUGAGUCUCUAUAAAGUGUGCUUAAAUGGGUUGAAUGAUUGUGCAUGAAAUGGUCUUGGAAAUAGCUUGAUUUUAGGUAAAUUUGGGUCUACACGGCCUGAGACACGGACGUGUAACUCAUCCGUGUGAGACACACGGCCUGGCGACACGACCGUGUGUCAUCUGAUGAUUUCUUUAGGUUGUAAGUCAAUAAGUUACAUGGCAUGGCACACGGGCGUGUGGGGCAACUCAGAGAUUUACACGGCCUGGCACACAGGCGUGUGACAUGGCCGUGUAACCCUACUCAGAAAGCUACACGGGUGAGGACAUGGGCUGGGACACGGUCGUGUGUCCCUAGUUCCAAGGUUACACGGGCUUGUGUCUAAGCCGUGUGACCCCUGUUUCCAAAUUUUUGUGACUUUUCCUAAACUUUCCUAAUUGUUUCAAAUUGGUCCUAAAUUGCUUCUAAGUUAUAUUUAAAACCUCGAUGGCUCGAUUUAGGGACAAUAUGCAUGUUUAUGAUUGGCUUACGUUAUGAUUAAAUUAUUGGAUGAUUUAAAGUUUAAAUAUUUUCGAUUGAACGGUAAUACUCCGUCACCCUAAUUCGACGACGAAGACGGGUUAGGGGUGCUACAGAUUCCAUGCAUCAAUUAUUAAUUAAUAACUCUGGUUAUCACAAGUAUAAAGAAUUUAUGCACGUAAUUAAACUCCCUGAGUUUCAUAUGAUUUUUUGCAAUUUGACUGGCGCGGGAACAUUUGUAUGUUCUUCCUAAACAAAUCAUUAGCGGAUAUAUCUAUGGAGGAUCGCUCUAAAUUGUAUGGGUCCCGACGACUCUUACAAGAGAUGUAAACUUCAUCUCAGAUUCAGAGUCUUUUUCACUUGAUAAUCUUAUUGGAUAUCUCGACUCUUGAGCUAACAUACGUAUCAUUGGUUGACUCUGGCAGACUAGUAGACACUUCGUCAUUGUGGCAGAUUCUUACCCAUUACUCAUCAUUUUCUAAAAAUUCCUGGUAAACACCCAGUAUUGUUCGGACUGCUUCGUGCUGCUUCGUGUAUAUAAUGUAGCUAACUCAGAUACCUGUCCAGAAGGAAACCCUCACGUACUUAACCUCAACAGGAGGCUUCUAAAUCAAUUGUUUGGAGUGGACUAAAAAUUUCCAUGAUGUCGCUCCGUAGAGCCAGUAGACCAUUUAUCCAACCAAACCUCCUCAAAUCCUCCUUGUUAAUUCAAACACCUAAGUGUUCACCUGCAAGGCCGAGCCAUUUCAUAUUUCAGUGACUCCAGUUCUCAUUCCAUCCAUUCAUUCUUCUAUUACACCAAUUUUCCUAUCUUCAACUAACCCAUCAAAUAAUUCCCUCGGUACCCUGCUUUUUAUAAUCAUGCAUACCACGCACAUCAUUACAACAAAUACUAUUUAUUCAUAUUAUAUUAUGGAGUACGCCACAUACAAAUUCAUCUAUACACAACCCUAUCAUGAAAUCAAAGAACCUAUUACAAACAUUCAUGCAAUUGCACAUCUUUAUGCAUGUAUAAUUUUCCUAGUCAACCACAAUAAUAUACAACCAUAGACUUAGACCAAACUUAGUACAGAACAUGCAAACAACACAGCAACCAGCAAACACCAAAAGGUGGAGUAUAGAAAAUCACCUGCUGUCCUUCCUCCCUACCAACUUAGCUUUUCCAACAACCAAAGUCUCCUCCAUCCUGGUUAGCUAAGCAUGACAACCAAAUAUAUCAGUUAAAUAGAAGACAUUCAUGCUUUAAAAUCUUGAAUCCAAAAACUUGUAGAAACCUUUUAAAUUUUACAGAAACCCUCAACUUUUUUUUUCAAAUCCACGAGCACAAAAAGAUUAAGAAGCAUACCAGUUCAUCAGAGUCUCAUCUAUUCAAACUCAAUCCUCACAUUCAUCGCUACAUGCAGAGCUUUCCUCAACUAUCUCUUCUUCGGAGGAAUUAAAGAAAAUGAUGCAAAAGAGAAGAAAAUGCAACAAAAUUAAGGAAAAUUCACACGGGAAUAACACAUCUCAGCUAUAUAUAUAACCUUCAUGCACGACCACCGAAGGCCCUACCAAAACUAGCGGCCGAAAAUCAUUAUGCUCCCAUUAAGGAACUUACCAAUUCCAACAUAACCAAACCAGAUUUAGAAUACAACUAAUUUCGAUCCUAUCCUUGCAUUCUUCAAAUUUUACCGUAGAUUCCAUAGAACCUACAAUUUCUUUCAAUUAACUCUCAAUUCUUCUUAAAUUCCCGACCUUAGUAGAAACCGAGUUUGACACCAACAUUACCAAUCAAGUAUGUUAGUCAUGUUUACAUAUCAUGAGUAAUAUCACUAACAUUGAGGAAAUCAAAUGUCAUAUGUCAAGGUAUAAACUUAUACUAUUUCAUUUCCAAGUUUUCUGUUUCAAUUUAAUUGAAUAUUGUCCGAUAGAACUAUAGUAAAACAAACUCGGAUAAAUAGGUGAUUAAGUUGCUCACACAAGCUGACUUAUAUUAGGUUACCUGUCCAGGCUAAACCUAAAUCACAUAUAACCAAAGAGUCUACAAAAAAUGCUAGACCUCGUUAUAACAUAUCUCAUCCUUGAUCAAACACAUGUAUAACCCUAUUGGCAUGCCAAACGUAUCAUAACCUUUUACUAAGUUCACAUGGGCAUCAUUUCUAUAUAUAUGUCAUUAUCGAUCCCUGUACAUGAUCACAUAGUUCAUUUACGUAUCCUGUAAUCAAUCAACUUUCACAUUUGUACCCUGUACUAUUACAUAAUAGCCAAUAAUCACAUGACAUUUCAAUUUAGUCCAUAAUUAGCCAUACAUGACAAAUUCACUAGAAAUCUGAUUAUAUCAAAACAUAUGUAUAUAUGAAAUCAAACACAAAUCACACACAACAUAAAAUCAGCUAAUAUUUCCAUAUGAACUUACCUAUUAGUAACACCAAAACAAGUUGAUUCUUCAAGGACUAAUCAACAAUUUUAGCUUUUCCCCAAUUAACUCCACUUCAAUCCAAUUCUUGAUCUAAAAAAAUAUUUCAUAUCACCAAUCAAUAUCAAAAAAUUUUAUACUAUACCAUGAUAUUUAUGAUUUCAUAUAAUUCUAUUUUUCGAUUCCCAUCAUAUUUAUAUUUUCUUCAAUUUAGUCCCUAAACUCGGAAUAAGCAUAACUUUUGAUUCCUAGCUUCAGGUUAAAAUCUGAUUUCAUAUAUUCUCAUUAGAAACUUUAUACUAUCUAUUUCUAACAUAAUUUUAUGAUAAUUUUUACAUUUAUUCAAUUUGGUCCCUAAUGUAACAAAGUUAACAAUAAGCUAAAUUAAUUUUACAAUCUAGUCUUUUCUCAUAUUCUAAGCUUAAAACCUAUCAAUUAUAAGCCUAAUUCUUCAUGAAAUCAACAAUGGUAACUUCCUAAAAUUUUAACCGUUUUACAAAUUGGUACAUAGGCUACCUAAAUUAAGCUCUCAUGACCUCAAAUCUAUAAAAAUUACAAGAAAAUGACUUGAAAUCACUUGCCAAUUAAUGGUCGAAUGUAAUAGCUUCAAAAUGGUUUUCUUCCUUCGGUUUUUCUAGGUUUGUGCGGUUAGGAGAAAUGGAGAAGAUGAAUAAAUUCCACUAUCAUUUGUACUAUAUUACUUAAGUAACCAUUCAUUACUUAAUUAUUUUAAUCAUACUUUCAUUAACAUAACUUAUCAUUUAACCACAUAUAAUGGAUUAUACCAUCAUCAUCCACUAACUCCUUAGAAAUGGAUUUAUUAUCAUUUUGGACCUUUAUCUAAUUGUUGUUUUAAUCCUCAAGCCUUGUGUCAAUUAAAAAUCUAUAGUUAUAGGAAUUUUACAAAUCAGUCCCUGAGUCUUAAUCAACUAUUAAUUCGGCAAAAUUAUUGUAUCAAUCAGUAAUAUAUUUUAUAUUAUCUCUGUAAAUAUUCAUAUUUAAUAUUUAUGGACUUGGUUUACGAAAAUAGGGUUCUAAAAUCGCAUUUUUCGAUAUCACUAAAAAUUGAGUUGUUACAAUUAAAGGUUAUGCCAAUUGAGCUGAAGUUGUCACACCAUAGAGUAGAAAUGCCAGGUAAUUGAACUCCAACUUCACGUGAUAGAGGCAUAAACCAAACCAUAUUGGAAGUGGAAUCUACAAGUGUCAUGAGUCAAGACUUUAGCUUCAAUCUUGUGUGGCGUUAGGCUCAGUUCCUAUCACAACCAGCCUAAUUUAGUCUUCGAUCUUUCCUUGGAGAGGCUAAGCCAAGAAAACUACACGAGCAUAUAAGAAAGAGUGAGAGAGGCUUUAAGAGAAUUUGGAAGUAUAUUACUUAAAAGCUAGCUUGUAUACAAAUGAGAGAGGGUAGCCUUCACUUAUAGAGGGAAGCCCUUUUUUAUCUAAUAGUUACAAGGCAAGCCCUUUUUCUUAUCCAAUAGUCACAAUUAAUCUAAUGGACAAACAUAUUAUUAAAUGCUAAGUAUAAAUAGUUAUAAAGAUUCCAAAAUCUUAAUCAUGAGAAAGUGAAUUAAAGAAACAACGUCAUUAUAUUUUAGAAGAAUUAUUUCUUAAAGGCUGAAUUAAAAUACUUUAAAAUUUGGGAGCUAAUUUAAAAUACGGGGACAUCGGAUUGAUGUAGCCUUAAAAGAUACUGUCCAGAUAGGGCAAAUAAAAAAGGUAAAGGAGUGGGCAGAGGAUUUUAGGGAAGGUUCCGUUGGUAGGUAUCAGCUUCUGCAAGACGAAGAGACGGGAAAUGGGAUAAGGAUUCCAUUGGAAAGUGAUUUGCUCAUCUUUUAUCUUUGCUUAAUUCUUUCUUCCCCCAACAACUUUAAUUUUCCAGCCAAAGGUGAAAUUCUCUUCCCAUUUUUCUCUCUCUCUCUCUCUCUCACACACACACACACACAAGCAAUUAUGGAAAAUAUAGAAAAUGAAGGAAAGUUUCAGGAUAUCUUAGUUGAAGUUGUUUAUAUCAUAAAGCAACAAGAAAUUUCAAAAUAUAUUUUAAAAAUAUUACAAAUUCAUGAUGCAGUUAUAUAUAUGUUUAAAUCCAAAAGAAUUAAGGCAAAGUUCAUCUAAUAACAUGAUACUGCAUCCCACAACAUUAACCACCAAGUAGAUGAAUGGCUAAGUCUUAAAGGGACCCUCCGAUACCAUAUACCAAAACAUCUCUAUUGUUGGUGAUAAUUCUAAAACAGAAACUCCAAACGGCAGCAGCAUGUAGUACUAGUGUCAGCUGGUUUGAUUAAGAUUUUUCACCAUUCCAAACCUCAUCUUAAAAACAUUAGCCGCACCAUCACUAUAGGAAGCAGGCGCCAACAUAAGUUGGGAUCAGCUAAAAUGCCAAGCUGCAAAAACAGAACUUAUGGCUCAGUCACUGAUUCAUGCACUUUGCCUGCACCCUCCUCUCCUUGAGGUAGCUCAGAAAUUCCGACUGUUUGUAACGGUUCUAUAGAAUUAUUUUCAGGCACUGAAUUGCCUUGUGCACCAGGUGAAUCAAAUGCCUGCUUUGCAACAUCCUUCUGCUCUAAGUUCUGUUUGUUGGAAGGAGGAGGAGAAUCAAAUGCUCGCUUCGCAACAUCCUUCUGUUGCAAGUUAUGUUCGUUGGAAGCAGGAGGAGAAUCAAAUGCCCGCUUUGCAACAUCCUUCCGCUCAUAGCUGUGACUACGGCUUCGACUGCGGCGGCCAUGGCUAUGGCUUCGGCUCCGCCCUCGACCAGGACUACGGCUGUAGCUGCGGCUACGACCACGUGACCAGCUCCUGCUUCUGCUUCGACUCCUACUACUCCUACUCCAACUCCGACUCCCACUGCGGCUACGGCUACGGCUACGGCGCCAAGUUCGAACCAUGUCAGGACUUCGGCUAUAGCUUCUGCCUCUACUUCUAUCACCAAUGCCUCUUCUGUUAUCAAAUCGUCCCCGUCCUCGUCCACGACCACGUCCUCGCCCGUCAAAACUAUUAUACUGAUCAUGCAAGCUUCUCUCAUUCCUGCCCCAACCAACAUGACCACCAGCAGGGCCACCAAAUCCACGUCCUCCUCGGUUUCCACGUCCAGAAAAUGGGUCACCUCUCCCUCCAGGACCACCGAAGCCACUAUCCCUCAUACCACCACGACUGCCAAAACCAUCUCUCAUGCCACCACGCCCACCAAAGCCCCCAUCCCUCAUUCCACCACGGCCUCCAGAAUCCCAACGCCCACCACUACCACUAGGAGAAUUAAAUCUAUUCAUUCCACCUCGAUCCUUCCCAAAACAAGGCCCACCACGAGAAGCUAUCUCUCGCACCUCAGGAGGCACAUGCUGGUUAGCUCUCUCCAGAACUUGAAUCAAGUCAGGGGCAUACUUCCAGUCCUGCUCAGAGAAAAAGGUGAACGACACCCCAGUUGCACCAGCUCUUCCAGUCCUUCCAAUUCGGUGAACAUAGUCCUCAAUGCCGGUAGGGAAAUCAAAAUUGAUAACCACCCUGUAGCAAGGAAAUGCUAAGAACAAAAUAUUUUCAUUUACUGAAUAAACAGUUGCAACUACAGAAAUUAAGAGCAAACUAACCUUAUAUCUUUGAUGUCAAGCCCACGAGCAGCAACAUCAGUGGCAACCAAUAUGGGGGAUUUCCCAGUUCGGAACUGACUCAACACCCAGUCCCUUUCAUUUUGAGAUUUAUCUCCAUGGAAAGCAACAGCUCCAAAGUUGCGUCCAAGACUACGAGCAAGCUGGUCACACAACCUCUUAGUGGAGCAAAAAAUAAUAACCUUUGAACCGCGCUCUUGAGCUUGGAGAAUCUGCUCCAGGCGCCUCUCCUUCUCCAUCUGGGGAACAACCUCAACAUACUGCCAAAUCAUGAAAAAGUUUGUAAGCUAAUGGGGAAGGUAUUUGUAAUCUAAAAAAGCAAUGGAAUAUUGAACUUCUGGAAAUACAUAUCCAGGAAUAACUGAAAAAGGUGCCAUGGUUUCCAAGGAUCUCAGAUCAAGAAUUUUUUAAGACUUCCAAUAAGAAUUGACAGAAUAAUUAGUUAGCACAUAUCUCAAAAGGAAAAAUCAGGAUGCAAAUCUUAAAUCAAAAUGAAAGAGCAUUUCACAUGGCAAUUUCCUGCAUACAACAUUCAAUAUUUUGAUGGUUACCCAUCAACCGAAUUCCAAUAAAACCAUCUAGGCUUUAGAGAAUACCUGGGUGAUAGACUUAUUGGCAGCAAGCUCAUCAACACUGCCAAUGUUCACCUGGACAGGAUUGACAAGGAGGUCACCUGCUAUUUUUCUAACCUCCUUGGGCCAUGUUGCAGUGUACAUCAGAGUUUGUCUGCGAGGAGGUAUCUCAUUAACAAUCUUGCGAAUCUGGGGCUCAAAACCCAUGUCAAGCAUUCGAUCUGCUUCAUCAAGAACAAGGAGUGACACCUGUCCAAACUCAAUUUUCUUCAUUUCAAGGAUGUCAUUUAGCCGACCAGGAGUUGCCACUACAAUAUCAGCUCCUCGAUCUAACUCUUUCAAUUGAUUAGCCUUUGGAGCCCCACCAUACAAACACUGAAGAAAUUUGAGAGAACCGGAAAACCAAAUUCAGUUGAAAGGAAAAAGUUAGCUCAGUUUUGUCUGCAUGUUUGUAUGAGCAAGAUGUUACUAUAAUCUUUUCUUUAAAAAAUAAAUGAGCAGUCAAGCCCCACCGUGCAAGAGACUCUUGAAGAUCGGCCAAAUUUUAUGGCCUCUUCCUGUAUUUGUGUAGCAAGCUCGCGAGUUGGAGCCAAAACCAACACUGUUGGGCCAUUCAGAGGGUUGUUAUGCCGUUGCCUCAAAAGCAUGAAAGUGGGAAUCAAGUAGCCCAAUGUUUUACCAGAACCAGUUUUAGCAAUAGCCACAAUGUCCCGACUUUGUAGUGCAAUGGGCCAUGUUUGUGCUUGUAUUGGAGUGGGAGAGGAAAAACCAGCAGAAUGAAUCUGAAAGGAAGCAUAAAUCAUAAAUAGUGAGUAUUAACUGAAUUUGCAAUGGAUCUUAUAUGUUCUUAGGGAAAAAAAGCAAAAACACACAUUUCGGUUAUCAUGCAGUUUAACUCAAAAUCCAUAAGUAUAUGUUGCUUACUGAAGCAACUUGAGGCAACAAAAGAGGGCAAUAUAGAAUUAAGAGGCGGAGCCAUUAAGCAAGGUCCCAGUCACAUCCAAGUGUGAUUUGGAUUAAGGGCCAACCACACUUCUAGAAGAUGCACAAGAAAGGCUCCAACUAUCCAUUUUGCAUCCUCCAAAAAUGAGAAUUUUGUUGCAUUUGUAAGUGUACCAAUUGCAGUGCAGCGUACGACAUUUGCUCCUCCUCCGGAGCAGAUAUCGCACCUGCGACAAGCGAAAAGAAUAAGUUUAAAUUAAAUUUAAAAAAGAAAAGCAAUAAAAAGCACAAAUGGUACAAGCAGCAUACAUAUUUCAUUUCCAUACCAAGGCUUAGGGAUCAUAACAUCUGUAGAACUUACCUCUCUCAGUAUCUCUGGAGGGAAACCAGUAUCUUCAAAUCUUAUGAAUGGUGCUGGAACGUUGUCUCCCUAUGCAAUUUAAUAAACAAUCAAAGUCAUGAAUAAUCUUGAAUUGGCAAAAUGAAUCAUUUCUUCACCAUUAAAACAAAGACAGCUCUUCAAAUAUUGUAAUGGAAGAACAAUUAAGUGAGAAUUAAAAAGAACAAGGCACAAAGCAAGAGAUUUUCAAAAAAUGAUAUUUAUCCAACCCCCUUCCCCUUAUGAAUGGUGCUGAAACGUUGUCUCCCUAUGCAAUUUAAUAAAAGUCAAAGUCAUGAAUAAUCUUAAAUUGGCAAAAUGAACAUUUCUUCACCAUUAAAACAAAAACAACUCUUCAAAUAUUGUAAUGGAAGAACAAUUAAGUGAGAAUUAAAAAGAACAAGGCGCAAAGCAAGAGAUUUUCAAAAAAUGAUAUUUAUCCAACCCCCUUCCCCUUCAGCAGUUUCCCAAAAUUAAGCUAUAGCUCUUACAAAGAAAUUAGCCUCAAAAUUUUAAUAUCUUAGGUAUUGGUAAUUUAUUCUAUACUAGUCACACAUUUUCACAAUUCACUAAUCACACAUAAGUUAACAAGAACAGAUGUAAUACAGACCGUUGCUGUGACUUCAUGCUGCUUACGAUAUGCAUCAGCUGGAGACAGAUGAUUAGCAUCUGCAGAUGCAACAAAUGGAGGCCUGAUCAAGGCAUUAUUGGGAUAAGGUGGACCAGCAUGACCAUACAUGUUAUGCACCGCAUGACCUCCAAUAGCAUUAAAUCCCCCACCAUGACCAAGCACAUUUUGAUGUGGCAGACCACUCAUCCUUGUCUCCUGACAGCAGAAGCAGUAUUAUGAGGAAAUUGCAUUAACAUAUGAAUUAUGAAAUGGUAUCUAUUACCAAUUUAGUCGUAUGAAGAAAAGAAAAACACCUUCUCAUACAAUAAAUGAAUAAAAAUACUUAAUUUCCCAACAAAUCAUUUUAAAAACUGGAAGAAAAGAACAGGUUAUAUAAUGAAUGCUCUAUCUUGCACUAGGUGCAAAUGAGUUGCAUUUAUGAACUAACAUAAGAAAUAAGAAAGAAAUCAAGAACUACAAAUCUCUAUGUCCUAUUUGCCAGAGACACCAAAAUGACUACCCAUCAUUUCCAAACAACUCUCCAAGAAAUGAUGAAAAUUUUACAUGGCAGCAGAGUAGGUAUAUUUCACAAGGAUCCUAAAUUCAGUUGAUGUGUGAAAAGGACAGUUAAUUCCAUGCUUUUGAUUUCCAGAAGUAAAAUGAAACUGCAUUUAUACAGGUAUCUGGAAAAUAAGUAACAGUUGGCAUUUGCACAAACCAACAGAGGAGAGAUUUUCAAAAUUAGCACCAAUAUAACCACAUUAUAAUGCCAACAUAUAAAUGAAUAACCUGAAAACAAAAACAUUAGUUGAUAUCUCACCAUGGGUAUAGCAGAAAGAGAUGGCUGCUGUGGACCCAUCAUUUGCCCAUCUUUGCUACCACUAAAGUAGUAAUCAUUUCCAGAUCUGCCGUGUAGUUUAUCUUCAUAACCAGUAUUUAAACCAGGAGGAGGCAUACUAGACUGUAUAACGGAUGGGCCCAUCUGAUUCUGAAACCUAUGACCCUGCUGCCGCUGAACCAGAUCUGUUCCAGUUUGCUGUGAAUGAGUCAUAGAGGUUGGCUGUUGCAUAUUGACAGAGGAGCCUGUAAACUGCUGUUGUUGACCUGAAUAUAAACCUGCCGGUGGAGUCUGAACUGAAUUAGUUCCAGCAGAGUGGUUCUGAGAAGAUGUGCCCAUCUGUUGAAAUUGAGCAGGAGAAAACCCAGUUUGGUUCCCUAGCUGAAAAUCAACAUCCUCCUUUUUCGGAACUGCUGCUUUAUAAUCUUCUCGAUUUGGAUACUGCUGACCCUGGUGUUGUGCACCAUGAGGAGUGAGCUGCUGAGAACUUUGUUGGCCCUGUGGAAGCACACUUUGUUGAUAUGCCAUAUACUGCAAAUGCUGAUGUGCAUAUUGUUGUCCUUGUGGUUGUGCCAUUUGUGAGUUUUGAUGCUGCAUUGUCUGCUGCCCAAUUUGAGACAUCAUUUGCUGAUUUGGGUGCUGCAUUGCCUGUGGCCUAUGUUGCUGCGGGAUAAACUGCCCCUGCUGUCCCAUUUGUGGACCUGGUUGUUGUGCACCCUGCUGAUCCGUAACCUGCGCUACCAUUGAACCCUGUUGCUGCCCAACUAUUUGUCCUUGCUGUUGAGCUAAUUGGCUCAUUUGCUGCCCCAGCUGUUUUGCACCCUGGACAACUUGCACCUGGCUCAUCUGUGCCACCGCACCAUUAGGUUGUGCGGAGUGGGCAACAGAAAUUGGAGUUAGCUUAGGUGUGGAAACUGCAGGAGGAGGUCCCAGUGGCAGGGGUGGAGGCAAAAUGGUUGGCCUUUCGUAUUGGGUGACAUUGUUCUCAGGGUUCCAGUAAUACAGGAGGCCAGUUGUUCCAUCAAUCAGCCCCUUCCAAGGUUUCGGAAGAGUAGGAUCAUCCGGUGCAUACCGCGGGCCAAGAUUGGCUGCUGCUGCUUCUGCAGUCGUCAUUUGUCCAAUAUAUAUCUAAAACCACAUAAAGUCCUUAGAUUCAGAACAAGGGUGGAAAAACCCAUGCCGUAGAUAGUCUAAUGCAAUAUUUUUUUUAAUGUGAAUCCACUCAACCGAAACAAAUACGAAACGCACCCACAAAAACAUGUAAACUUUCCCUCCAAAAUCAGCAAAUUUCUAAUCAAAUUACAGAAAUUAAGACAAUAUUGCAUAAGUCAUCAGAAAAAAACUCUAAAAGUAGCAAUACUUAUCUGUUAUAUGUAAUCUGAAAUAUAUAUAUAAGAAAUCAUAUCAUAUGACAGAGAGAUUUUUCAAUCAGUAGCAAUUCAGACUACUAGUCAUAUAUCAAUUAAUAAGACCCUAAAACAAGAAUUACAUAAACAAAGAAACAAGAUAAUUGAAUCUGACAUCCAAUACACCAAAUAGCAUUGGUAAUACAAUUAUACAUACAAGAGAAAGUGAAAAUGGACAAUCCUAUUAUUGAACAACAAAUCUCAAGUAAAACCUUUUUUUCCCUUACCAUACAUAAUGGGAGGGUAGAAAACAACAGAACAGCAAUUCCUUAAUUAAAAGAGCCAAUCAAAACAGACGAUAAGAUAAUCCAAAAAGGGAAUCCUAUAAGCAAACCACAUGGUCAAGAAAGAGGCUUCUAUCUUCGUUGCUCAAAACCAAAACCCCAUGAAAUAAACAAAAAGGAACAAGAAAACAGUAGCAAUUCAGACUACUAGUCAUAUAUCAAUUAAUAAGACCCUAAAACAAGAAUUACAUAAACAAAGAAACAAGAUAAUUGAAUCUGACAUCCAAUACACCAAAUAGCAUUGGUAAUACAAUUAUACAUACAAGAGAAAGUGAAAAUGGACAAGCCUAUUAUUGAACAACAAAUCUCAAGUAAAACCUUUUUUUCCCUUCCCAUACUUACAUGGGAGGGGAGAAAGCAACAGAACAGCAAUUCCUUAAUUAAAAGAGUCAAUCAAAAGAGAUGAUAAGAUAAUCCAAAAAGGGAAUCCUAUAAGCAAACCACAUGGUCAAGAAAGAGGCUUCUAUCUUUGUUGCUCAAAACCAAAACCCCCAUGAAAUAAACAAAAAGGAACAAGAAAACAGUAGCAAUUCAGACUACUAGUCAUAUAUCAAUUAAUAAGACCCUAAAACAAGAAUUACAUAAACAAAGAAACAAGAUAAUUGAAUCUGACAUCCAAUACACCAAAUGGCAUUGGUAAUACAAUUAUACAUACAAGAGAAAGUGAAAAUGGACAAGCCUAUUAUUGAACAACAAAUCUCAAGUAAAACCUUCUUUUCCCUUCCCAUACUUACAUGGGAUGGGAGAAAACAACAGAACAGCAAUUCCUUAAUUAAAAGUCAAUCAAAAGAGAUGAUAAGAUAAUCCAAAAAGGGAAUCCUAUAAGCAAACCACAUGGUCAAGAAAGAGGCUUCUAUCUUUGUUGCUCAAAACCAAAACCCCCAUGAAAUAAACAAAAAGGAACAAGAAAACAAUAGAGAAAAACAAAUGAAAAGGUGAGCAAUGGCAUACACCAAACUGAAGCAGAUUCCAUUUAGCUAUUAAGGUUUGGAACUAAAGAGGGAACAACAAAAGGAGGGAAACGCGUCAUAAGUCAGCAACUACUAAAAAUCCCCCAAAACAACAAUUGAUUUUCUCAAACUAGUUGAAGAAAUCCCAACACUUCAAGAAUCAAAUACCCUUCCAAAUACACGCAUUCAUAUAAUAAGCUCAAACCAGAACAGCACAAAACCAAGUUACAAAUCAAUCUUUGAGGAAUAAUUUCAAGUUUUCAGGUCACCAGUUAUAGUAAAAAAGCGGGAAAAUUCAAUCAAAUGAAAUCAAGUUCGAAGAUAAAAAAGAAAAAAAGAAAAAUUGGGCACUAUAAGAAGAGAGAAUUUUACCGGGAAAAUAAAAGAAUCAAGCCUUGGUUCACCUGGAAAGUCGCUCCAAAGAAAAUUCCUGCAAUUUAUAGAGACAGAAAUAGGUUUUCUGCGACAUUACCUUCGACUAGAAACCCUAACCCCAUAAAUAAUAAUAAAUAUAAUAAAAAAAGGGGAGGUAAUAGGAGAGUUGAGAAGAGCGGUUUUAAUGGUGUGGGAUAAAACAGAAAACCAGAGAGAAAUAGAUUGACGAUAAUGGUCACAAGUGGUUUCGAUAAUAAAAAAGGGAAGAGGAAGACGAGGCUGGUUUGGCGGCGGGCGAUGUGUUAAGAGAGAUGAGAGUGGGUCGGAAACUUUUAAAGGGAACUAGAAUGAAGCCCCGCAUUCGCUGGGGUUUUAGGAAAUUCUAAAUUAGAUAUUUAUUUUAUUUAUUUUUAAUAUAUUAAUAGUAUUAGGGUAAACUACUUAAAUGGUCACUAAACUUUCUGUGUGAUCCUAUUUUAGUCACUGAGUUAUAAAAAUUUUCAAUUUAAUCACUAAAUUAUCCGAAUUUGUUUUUCUCGACAACAGUUUCAUUAAAAAAUUAAUGGUAUUAUGGCACAACAAAUGAAAUUCCUCCAUUUUGUUUUAAUUCCUUGAUAGAGAGUUGACUUGGUCAACUCAACAUUAUAAAAAAUUAGAAGGAAAAAGAAAAGAAAAAAACAAAAGAUAAGAGAGUACCCAUACCCAUUUUGAUUUUUGUAGGUUCAAGUCCUCCAGUGCCAUUCUUGAUGAUCCGAACGGUCGAACAAAUGAGAUAGGCAUGGAGAGUAAUAUAUCUCAGGUUGACAGUAAUCUAAGGGCAUAUGACAAUGUAUUAAAGGUUUUUAUUUCGAGCCAACAUCUAGGUUUUUGGCCAUUGUAGUUCUUGUUUUCAGAAAACUAAUUGUGUAAUUUAAAUAUGGAUAAAAAAGGAGUCUUUUGGCUGCGAGUUUGGUCAAAGACAACGUCGAACAGCGAUAGCGUAAGGCGACAAUAAUUAGGGUUACUAGAAAGAAAUGAGAAGAAGAAAAUGAAAAAUGAAAAAAAUAAAUAGAAGUAAAUAAACAUGGGGAAUAUAAACAAAGAAGAAGAAGAAGAAAAUAGAAAUAUAAUAAUGUGGUGGAGCCUAUUGCCUUAAAUACUUUUUGAAAUUCCAUGUCAUCUAGUCGUUUAUACUUUAACGGUCUAAUGACUAAAAAAUGAAUUUGGAUAGUUUAAUAAUUAAAUUAAAAUUUUUCAUAGUUCGAUAACCGAAACAGAAACACACAAAAUAUUUGAUGACCAUUAAGGUAGUUUGCCCUUAAUAUUAAUACUAAGUUGUUGUACUUAUUUUUUAUUAAUUAUAAGAAUUAAAUUUAGGGAAAUAUAUAUAUUCAUUCGAAUAUAUACAUUAGAUGAUAAUUAGUGACUCGCUUUAGGUCAUAAUUAUACAAAGCCAAGUCAAAGGAGCGAAACCAUAAUAAUCCUUUAUGCGUUCGGAAUGUUUUAGGGUCAGUUUAAUAUUACUUCUCAAAAGCACUUUUGGGACAAAAAGCACUUUUGAGAUAAAAGUAUUGAUAAACAAGAUGCUUUUAGGACAAAAAAAUGCUUUGCAAAAGCACUUUUUGGCUAAAAGUGGAAGCAAAAAAUUUUAGCUUUUACUUAAAAGUACUUUUUGGCCAAAAAAUACUUUCUGGCCCAAAAGUGCUUCUAAGAAGCAAUGCUAAACUGGCCCUUAGUAUCCUUUACACUGUGUUGGAUUAUUUCAAUAGUUGGCAAUGGUGAUAAAAAGGUCUUACACUUGUUAAUAGUUGAAGCAAUAUUGAAUUUGAUAAUGGUAGAUUUAGUGAAUGAGUGAUGGAGAGAAAUCUUUAGUAUUUGCUUUCGUUUUGUUUCUAUAAAGUUUGGCUUUCUUGUGUUGGUCCAUUAUUAUAAAUGCUAAAACAACUCACUGUUGUUGGUAAUUUAAAUUUAUAUGAUUAUCAUACUUUCCAAAAGCAGGAUAUGUUUUUAGAGGAACUAAGUAAUGAAAAGGAUUGGUUAGAUACCUUCAUUUUCCACGAUUAUGCAAUUUCCCUAGUAGAAAAAGAAAAAUGGCAUAAUAGAGAUAUAACAGGCUUAGGUAAAUCACCUUUCAUACACAACUCUUUUGGCAUUUUUAAGAUAUGUUAUACUACCUCCAUAGGUAGCUACACAUGUCACCAUUGUGCGAACCUCAUACUAGGUUCACCUCCAACAUAGAGCGGACCCCAUACUUGACAAACCUUUGUUGUGGACUACCUUAAUUAGGAGCGCAUAGAAACUCACACCCAUUGAUUACUAAGUCGUCUUAAGAUGUUACAUCAUUAAUCUAUAGUAUCACAUCAUCACCUUGCAAGAAGGCAAAAUAUGACCUUGUUACUAGUGAGUGUUGGACCUAGUGCCCUGAGUGUAGUAUAUUCGUUUGUAAACUUGUAAUUUUUUCAAACAAAUUGGUUAAUAAAACAAAUUUAUUAAUUAUAGUUAAUAUACUUUGUAUUAUUAUCCUCAAAUGGUUUUUGCACUCAAAGCAAAAUGGAAGCAAAUGUUGCUCAUUGGUUAUCUAAUGUUUAACUAAUACUAAGUAGUAUUACGUGGUCAGAUCGUGAUAUGAAAAGAUAACUUAUAUUAGUAGACGAACCUAAAUAUGUCCUUAGCAAAAUGGAGGCAAAUGUUGCUCAUUGGUUUAACUAAUACUAAGUGGUAUUACGUGGUUGGAUCGUAAUUCGAAUAAACAACUUGUAUUAGUAGACGAACCUAAACAUGUCCUUAGUCUAAUCGGAAAUGAGCAAACCUAUUAAAAGACUAAUAUGUCGUCUAUUAAGUCCAAUUGGGGAGAUGCCUUAUCUUGGGCAUCAGAGCGGAUGACUCCUAGAAGAUAGAGACAUAGAUGUGACUAAUUGGACUGACAGUACAUCAGACAGAACCCAAGUGGCAUAGAACAUGAAUUCGUUUAUGGACUUGUUCACUUGUAACGUUCAUAGUGUGGCAUACCUAAAUCUUAAGUGGAUGGCGGACUAUGUAUGCGUGACUCAUACAUUUUGAUGUAAGUAAAAGCCUGAGUUUGAAUAGAUAAGGAACCGAAAGCUGGUGCGUUGGGUGUAUGACUUCUGUAGUAUGUAACAAUGGAACUCAUAGCCCAAGACAUGGGUAAAUGAUAUCCCCUCAUUGGCAUUACAUGGUUGAUGAAAAAUAAAUGUGUCUACGAGUCAUUCGUCUUUGUGAUGAAUGAGUUGAUCGCUAUAGUGAUUAACAUUUCAUGAAUGAAGAUGUAAUGGUUACCAUGAGAUAAAAUAAGAUCAUAUUGGGAGAGUGAAUAUUAUCCCAAAGAGAUCAAAGAUAUCCUAUGAGGGUAACACACUUAUGACAAGGUCAUUGGAUGAGCACUGAGUAGAUGCUUUCGUAAUGGUAUGUCAUUGGGGAGAGCUCAGUCACGAUACUAUAGUAGGAUGUUUUCGUGAGUAAAUGAGCUUAUAAUUAAUAGGCGAAAAGUCAAAACGUAAGUAUAAAUCAUUUGAACCCUAAUUACAUAUGUCAAUCGGUCCCUCCACUAGCUUGUUGAAACCAAUAAUGAAUUGCGUGUUGAAUCGAAAAUGAACGUAAUGAAUAGAACUAGAGAAAUUAAAAACAUUCAGAAAUUAUUAUGGUUUUCUCCAAAAUGGAAAAAUUGAAUUAUUUGGAAAUGAAUAUGGUUUUCUCAAAAUGAAAAUGGAGAUGAAAAUGAGAAAUGAUUCAUUUGCAAAUGUACGUGAAUUACUCAAAAAUUAUUAGAAGAAUGAGUUCAUGUUUUUGAGCAGUUUUAAAGCCCGAAAAUGAAAAUUAUGGUGCCCCAAACCCUACCGGUCUGAGCAUUACUUUAGCCACUUACGUAACUCUCCUUACCGAUUAACCAACACACCACAAACCAACCAUUACACCAAUUAAAAACAUGCUUAAACAAGUAAUUUUAAAUGAACAAUCCUAAAUCAUGCUUCAUCUAUCACAAUACAAUGAAAAAGGACAAGAAGUAAAAUCAUCAUUUUACGCAUUGUAAACAAUAAAUACGUAAAUCAUGAAUUUGUACCAACUAGUGCCUUGGGAAUUUUCUUUUAAACUAUUUGUGACCAAUUCAGUUCAAAAUGACAUUUAAAACUCACUUAAUUUAAAAACGAAGUUUUAAGGACUAAAACAUAAUUUUUGCAAAAUAUUCAGGUAAACCAUUUUAAGCAAUUGAAACUACCAUACUAAAAUUCAAGGAAUGAAAAUUAAGACAUUAAAAUUCUAAAACAUUUUGUGUAGUUUAAAGACUUUAAAUGCAUCACCUUAAAUUUUCUAAAACUUGCGAAUUCACACAACACAUACAUUAACAAUAAUAGAUAGACUAAUUCACAAUAACAUAGCAAAAUAAUUCGCCAAGUCCACACUGUGCAUAACCCUAUGGCGAACUCCCUUAUGAUGAACUCUCCUACGGUGAACUCCCUUAUGGCAAACUCACCUAUGGCGAACUCCCUAUGGUGAACUCACAUGUGGCAAACUACUCUAUGGAGAACUCCCUAUGGCGAACUCACUUAUCGUUGAUCUGCCGCAAUUCAUUGUAGUAGAUUAAACAAGUUUUCGUACUUAAAGAGCUUGAAUAUAAGCAAUCUUAUUAUGUUUUAUUUAGUUUUUCUAUUUUAGUUUUAAUUUAAUAAAAAUUGUGAUUUGAAGCUGAUUUUAUGACCUUAGGGGCCGAAAUAGGCCUAAGAGAAGGCUAACGUGUUUGGUGAGUGUGUAGGACAUCAUUCAGAGGCAUGAGAGCUAGAGACUGGUCGUUAUGUUACAACACGGAGGUUCAACAUCGGAAUAUCGUGAAGAGGAACCAAAAAUACCAAGUCUACCUUUGGUGUCGCGACAUAUCCAAUGGAUGUUGUGACACACCCAUGAAGCUAAGCCUGAGCCAAGUAAACUGCGUUUAGCGUUACGGUAUAAAUAGUGGAUGUCGCGAACCAGCCCUGUAUGUGAAAGCAUUAACGAGUUGAGGGCAUUUUGGUUCGCACAAUGUAUUUUAACGUAAAAGAGUCAAUCGAACUAAGGCUAAGGAUGAUGGCUAACCCUAAUAUUAUAAUAGGAUCAUUAAACACUUGAGAGAUUAUCUUUUUUAUAACUUAGACUUUUUCCUUCAGUUUAGUUUUUCAAUGUUUAGAUUCCUUCAUACUUGGGAUUUAUUUUCAUUUUAUCUUUGUUCAUGUUCUUCGAAGAAUCUUUUUUGUAGACUUAACACAAACUCUUUAUGGAUUUCUACACUUCAUUCAAAUACAAUUCAAGAUUCUUCUUAAACUUUUAAUCUUGAUCUGAUCUUUAUGUUUAUUUGUUUUAUCCUCUUAUGGAGGAUGAGCGAGUGAAAGUGUAAUUAAUUAAUUUCUAUGUAGGGUUUCUUAGCGGAUCAGCUGUUUAGGAUACAAAGAACUUAAACCCUAGGCCUGACAACCCUAGAAAGUCAUUUAGGUGGGAAAUAAACCAUUGUUGGUAUUGCCUAUCCGUGAGCCCCUUACCUCAAUCCGAUUUAGACUGUGAGGUUGAGAGAUAAGUAGUUCUUGCCGACUCAUUAUUUUAGUGGAAGAUCGAGAGAUCCUGCAUGAGUAAAACCUAGCUGAUUGAAUAGAAACUUGAAAUAGGAAUUAGUUAUGAUCAUUAAUGCGAGUUAGUCACCCAUGCUUAGAUUUAAUUGAGUUUACAUAUUAGUUCUUUGUUUUCAUUCUUUUAUGCCUGUUUAUUUCUUUUCUUAUAAAAACAAAUAUUUUUCACUUUAUACUUUGUCGUACUAUGAUUUAUUUGCAGUACUAAAUAGAUCUAUUUACGUUUAGGUUACUAUUAAUUUAGUAUUCGCCUCCCUUGGGUACAAUCCUUGGAAUAGUCACCUACUUUUCUGUGAAAACUAUAUUACAACUUGACUCAUAUACUUGCAAACGCCGCCUCAAUUCCAUAUUUUUAGCAGCAGUAUUCACACUUUGGACAUUAGUACAUUCGAAGGCGAUCAAGUAAUUGGCACUAUUAUCGGGUAGGCAACGUUGGUAAAUUAGUUUUAACUUUUGUGUCUAAUAGAGUAAUUAGGAAAAUUUUAAACUAUAGAUACGAUCUUUAAUUUCUUCAAUUUAUUUAUUUAUUUUACUUUGCUAAAAUUUUUCUUUUCUUCAAGAAAUCCCAUCACAUACUCCUAAAAAAAAGAAAGUUCCCUACAGAGUUAGUCACUGAGACCAAUUUAGAAAUAUUAUGGACGAAUUUUAUUAUAUGUGGUCCGAUGAUGAAGCAAAUUACAAUGAUGAAUUUUAAAUAGAGGGAGUAUAUAAAGAAUGGGAAAUUAAAUAAAACCAAAUAUUACUAAUACUAUAAUUGAACCAGCUAAGAGGUGAAGUCUCAACAUUUCUACAGAACAACAAUCGGGGUAUGAAUAUAGAUAGAUCUUGCCAGAGGUUCGGUCAAAUCCAGGGCAAAAGUAAAGAUGAGUUUUGGAUAAGUGAAGAGGAGAACCCAACCGCAAUAGCAUCUUGGGAAGGUAAAACCUUGAGUAGCCGGGCAACCCUAAUUUUGGAAGACACAGAGGAGACAAUGUUGCAAGAUGAUGUCAAAGCUGAGAUAGAACCAAUAGUUGAGUUGACAACUAAAUGUAACAAUAGGUCAGGUACUGAAUUUUCUAUCUUAACAACAUCGGUCCCAUCACAAUUGGAGAAUGAAAAACAUCAAGAUAUAAUUGAAGGUGUAAGUUUUUCAAACCUACUCCAAUCAUUUUGUGAGAUGUUAACUCUUAUAGAACAAACAGAGAAAUUGCCAAUGCCUUCAAAACCUGUAAAGGAAAUCAUGGAAGAGCAUAAGAAUUUUGAAAAGGAAGACCCGUUCAACAUUGAUACGUUUUGUAAAGUGAUAAUCUUUAAUCAGGCACCCCAAAAAAUUUAAAGGCUAAGGAGUUUUACGAUGUUAAUCAAGCUACGAACUAUAUGUGUCAAUAGAGCUUGAAGUGACUUAAGAAUUGUUCCUAAUCGACUGACCCUACCAACAAAUAAGAAACUAGGGUUGGGGAAAUUAUAAAGAACUCACUUCCUACUAGAACCACAUAACGAAUUUGUAUCCCAAUCAAAAGGGAUGUCCGAAGAUUUAUUGAUCGAACAAUGUAAGAUUGAUUCUAUAACCCUAGAUUUUGAAAGAAACUCUGAAAUAUCUAGUUUGUUAGGGAAACUUUUCUUAGACUCCUCUAGGUUUAUUACUAAUGAAGUCAAAAUAAAAAAUAAAAGUAAGAUAUAUAAAAGUGUUGUUUUAUAGUAUCAGGAGUCUGAGAAAAAUUUAGGACCAUCAAGUUAUCGAAUAUGUAUAAACGUAGCUAAUAACUUUGAUCAGCGAAAAGUAUUUAUUGUGAUCAGUGCAAGUCAAAAGGAAAAGGUCAAGGACGGGAUAAACGAAAGAAUGCAGAGUGCCAUGACAGAUGCUAGACUGAUACUGAUAGACAAGUAAUAAAAGAACACUCGUGUGUACAUUGAUGGAGCUGACCAUAAACUUCCGUUGAAAUGAUGUUAAGAAGAAGUCCCAAGUCAGACGAUCCAGUGCAGUAGCCCUCUUGAUAGUCAUCCACCAUCUGUGAACCUUGUCCGCCAGUAAUGAUACGACAGAACCCAACUUAUCCUAGUCAGAACAACCAAUCUAACUGAUAAUACGAACGACGCCCUCCAACAAUACUCUGCACAUGUCGGAUUACCGCACCCAACACCACGAAACUCCUUACCACUAAUAGCUCGUAAAUGCUCUAGGCCAAACCAUGACAAGCUAGGGCAGUGUUGGCACCAAUGAUACACUAUAGUGCUGCUACUAUCUCAGACAUGAAGUGCUCAACGUAGCCCAUCUGAGCAUCGUCUCACAGCAAUGUAUCAUCAUCCAUACUACCCCGAUCAUGAUGCGGAGGCAUAACAACUACCAUAUACUAAAGAGAAAGAGUAAAUAACACGUAACAUGAGUGAGUAGUGGUAAGUGAUCCAAGAUUUAACUAAGUAGAGUUCCUAUAGGGUAUUGUGUUCCCAGUCCUACCCCUAAAAAUAAUUUAUAUCACAAAGAUCAUGCAUAGGCAAAAAUUCAAAAUUUUUAAUCAAAACGAGCAAGCAAACAUCAUAAUCCAAGAUCAUUGAUAUUCAAGCAACCUAGGCUAACCUAAGGUUUUAAACCUAGAGCUCUGAUACCAUGAAAUGUGACACCCAAACCCAACUGGGACGGACCAGCCCGAAUUCAAAGAAUUAGAUUAGCUACCUAAGUGACUUUCCAGCAACGACCACCCAAGACACACCUUGACCUUAUAACACCUCAAUAUUAUCUAAUUAUUAGUUAUUUAUUAAUGCAGAAGCAAACUAUGAGCCAAUUUUAAACUUUUCCUAGGUAAUUUAACCUAAAGGCAUUUUCGUCAUUUUACCACCUAUGGUAAAAUUAACCUAAUUUUAUAUCUAAGUGUUUAUUGACCUUCUUUUAGUUGAAUUAUGUAAGCCUAAAAAUUUCAGCUUAAUUUGAGUUCGUUUACUAUGUCUAAUUCAAGUUUUAUUACUAGGGACUAAAUUGUAACAAAUAAAAAUAUUAGGACCUAUUCAAAAUUAUGAGUUAAGUGCUUUCCUAUUUAAUUUUACCCAUUAAAAGACUAAUCCUAAAAUUUUACCAAGUUUCCUUAUCAUCUAAGGCACUAAUUAGACUAAUCAAAUUUAAGGACUAAAUUGUAACUUAAACAAAUUAGAAUACCAAUUUUAAAAGACAAAAAUUCAAACCCCAAAACCCACACGGCCAUGUUCCCAAGAUCAUGUGUCAUUAAAUAACUGUGUUCACGUCGUAAAAAACUUUUAGGUCGAUCGCACACUUCCGUAUGGAAAUGCCACACGCCCGUGUAAAAAUCACUGCACCUAUUUUUACGAAAAACUCGUUUUAAAACCCGAUUUUGCAUAUUUUAAUGGUCAAUUAAACUCGAUUUAAUACUAUUAAUUAACAUACAUAUACACCUUCAGUUAAGUUUAUUGACAUCAAUUAAGCCUCAAUUAUCUAGAAUUAGGUAAUCAAUUUCUUGCAUAACAACCACUGAAUAAAUCAAACAAGUGGCAUACCUUAGUCGCUAGUAACCCACUCCAUAGAAGCUUCAUUUAAGUAAUCGUUAGUAUAAAUUUAAUGCCUUACACACCGUGUUAUCAAUCACCGUGUUAUGAAGCAACAGUACACCGUAAACCAUUCAAUAAUUAAACUCAAACAUGCCUCAAAAUUAUUAUAAAACCAUCCAAAAUAAAAUGUCCAAUGUCCAAUUACAACCAAAAUUAAACUAAUUCUCGAAAGUUUCACAAUGCCCGAUUACAGUCUCUAAAACAUGUAAUAAAGUCUCUACCAUGCUUAAAUCUCUUGGAACUCUCUUUCUCAGCUCCUUUACUCCUCAAGCCCGACGAUUAUCUGUACGAAUUGUGAGGGUGUGAGCUUUAAAAAGCUCAAUGAAUGUUAAUAAAAAUGACUAGUAAAUCAGCAUCCAAAUCAUGCUUAAAUUACAUCCAAUCAGUCACCAAUUAUCAGCCAUAAUAAAGAAACAUGUUACUUUAAUUUCCAUAUACUUUAUCAAUAUCAAGAAUCAAUUAUCCAUGGCUUACAAACAUCGAAUGAUAUAACAAUAAUCACACAUAAAUAUAUUGGCAUACAAUUCUCAUGGCUUAAUCGGGUGAUCAUACAUCAAAAAAAUAGAUCUCCGAACUCCCACAAAUAUCAAUUACAAUCCACUGAGUUGAGUGAGCCAAAGCACACGCUCCCUUAUAGCACCUCAAAUAACCCAAUAAGUGGAGACUCAUGCUCAACACGCCUUUAUCUACACCAAACAAAUCAGUCUACCUAGAGCCUUAUGCUCACAAUGUCACAAAUAAAGGUGAGUACUCACAAAUCCUAUAGCAUAUAAAUUAGUCAUUAUUGUGCUCAAUUUAAUGUGACAAUAUGCUUAUGUGUAACAUGUAACAUAGUCAUUUAACAUCCAAAUAAAUCAAGCAUUUCAUUUGCCAUUUUCUAAUGUUCAAUUACCAAUUGUAACACCAAUAUAUCAUAAUAAAAAACUUUAGUAAACAUGCUUUAAUCAUCAAUAUAAUUAACCUAACUAAAUUGCAUAAAACCACCUAAAUGCUUACUUACCAUUAUUUAAUAAAAAUUCAACUCUUGUACAUAUAAUAUCAAUCUUGCACAAAUCAGCCAUUCAACCAUAAUUACUCAAUUGAAAUAAUCAAUUAAGCUACUACUUAAACAUAAAUGAGGGUCAAUUUACCAAAUCGCCCUUAGAAACACUCACCACACAAUUUGUUUUACCACAAACAAGUGAUCAACCAAGCAAAAAUCCAAGCUUCAAUUCUGGUUAGCUCAGUGAUCUUCAAGAUUUAGAGCUUCAACAGAGAUAAAGUAGACAUUACCACCUUUCUAAUGCUAUAAUAAACACGAAUUUUAAUUAACUAUACUAAUCAAAAUCCUCUCACAAAGAUACCUUACAAGAUUUGUAACAUCAAGUCGAAAACUCGAUUCCUCACAAAAUCGAUCUCUCCAGCCCUCCUAAACACUUUCAAUCAUCAAUACUAGACCAAAUACAAUUAUACUAUGCAUCAGUUACAUCUUUAAAUCAAUUUCACAAAAUUCUAGAAAAUCGAUUCAUGAAGAUUAUGAAAUUCAGAUUUCUUUAAAUUACCUCACAAAUGUUUAAUCUUGAUAAAUAAGAUCAAAAACCUUUUAAUAGAUCCAUUUUGAGUUGGAACAUCCAUUGAUUUGUGGAUUUACUCUCAAAAUUCAAGAUCUAUCAUUAAAGAACCAUUUGUUCUUGAAAGAAGUUGACAUUGAUAAAAAUCCUUUAUUUGACUCCUAAAUCAUGUAAAAAUGUUUCUAAUCAUCAUAAAAAUAAGUUUAGCAUUGAAGAUUACCUUUGGUUCACUCUAAAUUCGUUGAUCGAAAAUCUUGAUUCAAGAAACUUGAGAAAAUUCAUAACAUUUUUUGCUACUUUUGAGAAUAAUUUUAGGUGAACUGAGAGAGUAUUUUGAGAAGGAAAUUGGUUGGAUCUAUUCUAUGAUGAUAGAUCUUUAAAAUCAUGCAAAGAAAACAAAUUUUAAAACUCUCUAAUCUGAUGUAAAAUGUGUGAAAAUUGGGCUAGAUACAUUAGUUUUAAAUCUGAAACCACCCACUAGAAAUUUAAAAAUUGGGAAAUUUGCCUACUGGCCACUCCCACAUUUCCCUUACUUUACCAUUUAAUGAUUUCCCUCCAAAAUUUUGAAUUUUAAGUUUUAUUUUCCAUAUAAAUACUCUAAAAUUUUCCUUAUUUUACAAUUAAACCCUAUUUAAUUAAUAUUUAAAUUUUACCCAAAUUACCCCUAAUAAAAACUAUUUUAAAAUUCUUUUUCAACCAAAAUUGAUGAUUUUCACUAAUAAUUAUUUAAAAUCUAUAAAAUUAAUUUUUAAAAAAUAUUUUUUUCCGGAUUAUUGUUUAAUCGAUUUUAGAUUAAAUUAACCUCCUAAAUUAAAUUAAAAAUUACUAGAAACCCUAUAAAUUCCUAGUUUUACACUCGAAACCCGAAAAAUAUAUCUAAAACUACUAGACCCGGUUUAGGGAUAUUACAAACUUACAUGUUGAAUGGAAAUGAUGAAAUGGUUGUGUUGCAAAUGUGAAUAUAUAGAUAUGGUAUUAAUGUUUAGAAUUGAACCCAUUGGAGAUGAGUUUUUUGCUAGAAAAGUCAAAGGAAAUGUCUUUGGAUUUGUUUAGGUAAGUGCAUAUUGACAUCAUUUUGGGCCAUUUGCAAAACAAGUAGUCACUUUGUAACGUCAAGCCCUUGUCAUCAUAAUGAGACCAAGUCAGUGAAUUAAAUUGCAACGAGGAACCCCCGAAGUCCCAACGACAACCCUGUAUUUUGUAAACUUUACAAUUUAGUCCUAUUUUGAUCAUGGGUUAGCAAAAGACCUUUCGCAAGCUCAUAUAAAACCUGGAAAUGAUAGCAUAUCAUAUUGAUAUUCAUUAAUAUGGUUAAUGGUAUACAUAAAUGGAAAAUUAAAUUGUAGUUACUUCGUCAACCGAUGUGGCAUCCCGUAGCUCAAAUCCGAUGAUCAGAUCAGGUUUGGAGUGUUACAUUUAUUGGUAUCAGAGUAACAUGUUUAGCUAGUUCUUAAACUAAAUCAAGCUCAAAAUUAAGUCUAAAGGUACAUGCCAACAUUGAGUCGAGUCUGAGUCAUGAAUUAGAUGCUGAUUAUGAAUUGAGCUACUAUAUAGCUGAUAAUGUUAGGCAAAUUGAUAAAUGUUGUUAGAGAAUAAGUUAACAACAGUAAUCACCCCAUUAAGGGUGAGAGUAAAGUGAGAAUUGAGAUAUAUGAUAUUGAUCAAGCCGGUGCUCAAAGCAAAAAUAGAGUUAAUAAAAGUCACCAUAAGGGUCGUGGUGAUAAGGCUUUACUUCACGUUAUAACGGAAGUUUUCUGGAGAGUAGCAAGUGUUUCCUAGCAAGUUACACUAGUAGCUGCAGCUUGGCGAGUCCUAAUAAAAAAAGUUACGAAAGUAUGAAACAACUGAUUUCUAAGGGCUGAAUGUGUUGACUGUUCAUUAACUGAAAUUUGGUUGGAAUCAGCCGAAUUAGUUCUCCAAUAAUUAGACUACUCACCACAUGUGUGUCAGGUGUAUGGUAUCUCUUCUAAAGAGAGAGGCAUAUUAGUGGUAGCUAACUUUCACCUAUCUUGUGCUUUCGAAUCGAAUUUCUUAGACAUUUUGUCAGACCUAAGAAAAAGACUGAGUUAGGCAACUAUCCAUGCUAGUUAUCAGUACUGGUGGUCGUGCUAAAGACGUUAGUCUUCCAAACUAUGACUUUGUGGAAGAAACCAUAAGGGUGGGUGUUGGAAAAAGACUAACCCAUGUUGUUCAAUUCAGGUCCCUAGAACAUUUAAAUAGUGAGUUCCUAUGACUACCCAUAAAUCUGCUCAUUUAGUUAAAGGCCAGGGAAAUAGUCGUAGAGAAUCGAUAGUGAGGAAUAGUCAAAUAAGGGAAGCAGGUUUUGCAAUCCAACAAUCUAAAGCUAGAGUUCUUACACAAGCCUAUGUGGUCUGAACCAGGGAAGAGGAUAAUGUUACUGAUGCUAUAGUAAGAAAAUUGAAAUCGGAGUUGUUAAGUAUAACAAGAUUUGUUCCAAGUCCUUUGAAAUAAAUUGUACUCGUUGAUCAAGUGUACAAGUGAAGCACAUUAGAAAUCAAGAAUAAAUCAUUCCUAGUUAAUUUGUUAAUCAUAUCAUUUGAUGAUUUUUAUGUAAUUAUGAGAAUAGACUGGUUGACCGAGCACUGUGCUAUUUUGGACUAUUGUAGAAAGAAAGUUCUUUGUGAAAAUCCUGAAACGAGAAAUUAUUAAAGUCAAGGGCAUAAUAUCGAGUAAAUCUACUUAUUUUUUUCUACAAAACAGCAUAUAACCAAACCGCUCGGGAAGUAAUUACUUUAGAAACAACUUAAAACAAAACCUCUACCUAUUUUUUCUACAAAACAACAUAUAACAAAACCGCUCGGAAAGUAUUUAUGUUAGACACAUUUAAAACAAGAGCAAUUCAAGUGCAUAAAAAUUGCAUUCACAUUUUCUCUACAAGAAACAGAAUUGCUUGAUUAAAAGAAGUAGGAUAUUAGUGCCACGACGAUGAUUCCAUUCACCCCUACUUUCUGUUAAAUAUUUUAUAAUGUUAUCCAUAUUAAUAUCUUUAAAAUAUUCGAAAUCACUGUUUUCAACAAAAAUCAGAUUCAUAAUAUGGAGAUUAUAAAACUCACAAAUUUCUCUAAGGGUGACAUGUACAUCUUUACCCUACAUCGGUAAGUUUUCCCAAACAGCAUCAUAAGGUCAUUUAGACUCUCGAUCCCUAAAUGAUGCAUAACUCUUGUACUACAAGGAUUAAAGUGGGGUCUUUAGGAGUUACACAAAAAUAUUCCCACCUAUGAUACUGAACGAGUGCCCAAAUUUCUUUGCACAAGACCAUCGAUGACUCGAAGCCCUUCUCUUGUAUGAACGUCUUUCUUUGAAUUUCUAAGAAGAAUUAUCGACAUUCGAGUUUGAAAAGUUAGAGGGAUUCACAUUCACUGGGGCCUCUUGUUCAUUAGUUCCUCUAGUUUUCCUAUAAGGCAUUUUCAAAUGUAUUUGACUAGAUGAUGUAAAACAAAUCGAGCAAUAUAUUUCUCAAACCAAUAAUGCAAUGUAACAGUAGAACUUAGAAAUGAACCAUUAACCUUAGUAUGUCAAAUAUUUGUUGUUCCUUAUGUAAGUUCAUUACAAAUUCCUCGUCAAUGUGGAGUUUUAUCACUGCACAAAAUAAGAACAAAAAAAGCAAAAGAAAAAUUUGUAGCAAAAAGACAAAGAAAAGACAUAGUGAAUAAAGGUUUUGAAGUUAGAGUGUUUUAAAGAGAGUUGAGAAGUUUUAGAGUUAAAGAAAGGUAAUACUUAGUGGUUUAGUUUAAAUAUGACUGUUAUUUUUGGUUAAAAUCGGGUAAAAAUAGAAUGUAGGCCGGCUGGUUGCGCAACGAGUCGGGUCGACCCUGCAGAAAAUUGUAGUAAUGUAACAACAUAAGGGUUCAAUGUCACGACAUUCUCAGCAGUGUCCCGAUGCCGCGACAUCAGGAUUCGGUGUCGCAACACACCCUGAAAUUUUUUAAUUUUGAGCCUACUUGCUAUUAUGUCGCGACACAGGGGUUUCAUGUCUUGACAUCGAGCUGCAUUACUCAAUUUCUCGAGUCUGUGGUCGGUGUUACGACACGGGGGUGCCAUUUUGCGACACCGACCCGGUUUUGGCCCUUUUUCUUGAAUUCUAAGGUUCUCAGUACAUACCUAACCUAAUUCCAAGUAAUUUAAAGAAAAAUUAAGUCUCAAUCUACAUAUUCUACAAUGUAAGUUUAUUAAAAUAUAAUAAUUUACAAAAAUUAAAAUAGUUUAAGGAGGAUCAAGUGUUCUACUGGAUUCACCCGUUAGCUUUUUCAGUUUAUGCAUGGAUGGGUAAUUUAUUGAUUUUCUAUCUAUAUUAGUCCAAUGUCCAUCAUGCCACUCCACCGUGCUCCAUUUGUCUUGUUCCCUAAAUUUUUUUCUAUCCUGCACUAAUCAUAGAAAAUACAUUUUUUGGCAUAAGGUUAUUAGGUUUUUACAUAUAUUCAUAGCACGCCUUCCUUAAUUUUUUCCCACUUCCCUCAUUUUUUGGUGACCGCAUUUAAAUACUUCAAUCUCACCAUUAAUUAUCAUGAUUAAUUCGUUAUUUUUAGGACCAAUGUUUAGCUACUUCUUAGAUUAAAUCGAGCUUGAAAUUAAGUCUAUAGGUACAUGCCAAGGUUGAGUCGAGUCUGAGUCAUAAUCGGAUGUUGAUUAUGAAUUGAGCUACUAUAUAGCUGAUAAUGUCAAGCAAAUUGAAAAAUGUUGUUAGAGGAGAAGUUAACAACAGUAAUCACCCCGUUGAGGGUGAGAGUAGAGUGAGAAUCGAGAUAUGUGAUAUUGAUCAGGCCGGUGCUUGAAACAUAAAUAGAGUUAAUAAAUGUCACCAUGAGGGUCGAGGUGAUGAGGAUUUACUUCGCGCUAUAGCGAAACUUUUCUAAAGAGUAGCGACAGUUUCCCAACAAGUUGCACUAGUAGCUACAGUUUGGCGAGUCCUGAUAAAAAUAGUUGCGAAAGUAUGAAGCAACUGAUUUCUAAAGGCUGAAUGUGUUGACCCUUCAUUAGCUAAAAUUUGGUUGGAUUCAACCGAACGAGUUCUCCAAUAAUUAUAAUGCUCACCACUUGUGUGUCAAGCGUGUGGUAUCUCUUCUAAAAGGAUAGGCAUAUUAGUGGUGGCUAACUGUCACCCGUCAUGUGCUUGCGAAUUCGGUUUCUUAGAUAUUAUGUCAGACCUAAGAAAAAUACUAAGUCACGAAACUAUCCAUGCUAGUUUUUAGUACUGGUUAUCCUGCUAAAGACGUCAGUCUUCCAAACUAUGAACUUUGUGGAAGAAGCCACAAGGGAGAGUGCUAGAAAAAAAACUAACCUAUGUUGGCCAUUACCAGUCCCUGGAACAUUUGACUAGUGAGUGCCAGAGAAAUGUUACUAAUGUUCAUGAUGUUUCUGCGACUACUCAGAAAUCUGCACAUUUAGUUAGAGGCCAAGGAAAAAGCCGUGGGGAACAGUCAGAGAAAGGAAGUUGUUCUUCAAUCCAGCAGUCUGAAGUUAGAGUUUUUGCACAAGCCUAUGCGAUCUAAACCAGGAAAGAGGAUAAUGUUAUGGAUCUUAUAGCAAGAAAAUUGAAAUCGAAGUUGUCAAGUAUAACAACAUUUGUUCCAAGUCCUUUAAAAUAAAAUGUACUAGUUGAUCAAGUGUACAAGCGAUGCAUAUUAGAAAUCCAACACAAAUCAUUCCUAGGUAAUUUGUUAAUCAUGUCGUUUGAUGAUUUUGAUGUAACUAUAGGAAUGGACUAGUUGACCGAGCACUGUCUGAUUUUGCAUUAUUGUAAAAAGAAAGUUUUUCGUGCAAAUCCUUAAGGUGAAAUUAUUGAAGUCAAAGGCAUAAGAUUGAGUAAAUCAAACAUGGAUAAAAGCUAAAUGAGUAAGAUCCGUACAAUAUGUGAGUUCCCAAAAGUGUAUCCAAAAGAAUUACCCGGAGUGCCUCCUGAUAGUGAGGUUGAUACAAGAUCUUCUAGAUUGCAUCUUUAUAUGUUUUGGUAUAUUGUCCUAGAGGGCUUCAGUAUUGUCAUUAAGAAGAAAUAUCGGUCAAUGUGGCUCUGCAUUAAUUUUUUAUUGUUGAUUAAGCUGGCAAUCAAGAACUGAUGUUCGUUACUGCAUAUUGAUGAUUUGUUUAAACGAAUGAAAAGUGCAUUUGUCUUGUAACAACCCAUUUUUCAGUGGUGAUGGAAUAGUGGUUUUGGGACCACAAGUUUCCGUUGUGUCAGCUUACAAAUAUUAUUUAUAGAAUGUUUCCAGAGUCAUUAGGGUCGUAUUAAAAUUUGGUUAAGAGAUUUUAACAUUUAGAUAGUUAAUUUAAGAAGAAGGACUAAAUUAUAAAUGGUGCAAAACUUAGUAAUUAUUGCAUUUAAAUGAUUAAAUAGCUUAAUAAUCAAAUAAGGAAGAAUCUAAGUGGUAAUUUAGCCUUAGUUAAUAUGUAAGACGACAUUAUGGAUGAAAAUUAUAAAAUAAUAUAAGAUUUAAUGGCAAAAUGGUAAAUAUUAUAAAAUUAAAACAAAAUUAAAUGAAGUAAAAGACAUUUUCUUCUUCAUUUUCACUUCAUCUUGCUGAAAACACCAUGGAAGCCUAGUUUGGAGGUUCAGUUAGUUCAUCUCUUGCAUGAGUAAGUUUUUUAGCCCCAUUUUUAAUGAAUUUUUUGUUUUUAAGAUCGUUGUAACUAAGUCUAGCUAGCCUGAACCUUUGUUUUUGAAUAUGUUAAGAAUUUUUGAAGUUUCCAUUAAUGAAUCUUGAAUGUUUUUAAUGAUAAAUAUGUGUUUAAAGCUUUGAUGAUGGUAGUUGGUUGUUUUGUGAAGUGAUUUUUGUUAGAUUUUGACUAAAGGAUUAAAUUGUUAAAAUGUCAAAAUUUCAAGGUUUGAUGGUGAAUUUAAUCUUUAAUAGGGACUUUUUAGGGCCUAGAAUAUUCGGCUGUAAUUUGAUUCCUAGAAAAUGGUCAAUUUGAUAAUUUUCGAGUUAAGGGACUAAAUUGCAAAAGUUGUGAAAGUUAGGGGAAAUUGUGUAAAUUUGAAUAAUAAAAGGGUAUAAACUAUAAAUUAAAUUUGAAAAUGAAAUUUAAGCUAAUAAUUGAUAAUUUUAUAUUUUUGAUCAAGAUCCUGUUGAUUUACGUGAAAAAGGAAAAUAGCGAAAUAAUCCCUGAUCUUCAACAACUAUUACAACUUAGUCCAAGUAAGUUCGUACGGUUUAUCAUUUGAUAUCUAUACAAAAUGUUUGAUGAUAUAAUAUGAUAUAAUAUAUAAAUUAUUUUAUUGUUGAUGUAAAGUUAUUUGAGAAUUAUUUUUGAAAUUCAAUACUUUGAUCGAAUGAACGAGAGAUAGAGUACAAUUGAAUGAUGGCGUGUUAUGUGGGGAUUAGAAUGGAGAUUAAUGUGGAGUGAUAUAUUUAUUUUUCUCCAGUAGGCUAAGGUUCAGCAUUUUUUGUGAACUCUCAUAUUAUACUUCCUGUUUUGUUGUGCUUUCGGUUGGACUAGUUCUUCGGAGCAAUUGGCGUGUUAUCUGGUGGAUUAAUGUGCUUGUAUCUGUAGUCGUUCAUCAAAUCAUAAAUUAUUUUAUUACACUUAAAUAAUGACUUUGAAUGUCAUGACAUGUAAUUGAUAUCUAAACUUGAUUAUAUUGUGGAUAUAUAUAUUAUUCUCAGAGAACUUUGGUUAAGUUUUGAAUUGAAUUAUACAAUUCACCGGGUUGAGAUUUUGGAUGAUAAGAAACAUUGUAGUUGACAUAUUAUUGGUUGAAAUGUUGUUUUUACUUUGGUAAGGUUUAUUGAUUCUAUAUAUCGAAUUUACUAAGCUUCAAUAAGUUUACUGGUGUUAUUUUAUAUUCCUGUAGAUACUUUUUAGGGUUGGACAGUUGGAUCAGCACUUAAGCCACACUAUUCAUCCAUUUUCGAUAGUUUUUGGAUCGUUAUUUUGGAUUAUAUGGCAUGUAAUAGGCUUGUGGUCAUUGCUAUUAUUUUGAUAUGUAUAACUUUAAAGUAUGGCCCUAAAUGCAAGUAGUUAACUUAUUAUGAUAUAUGUAAACUAAGGAAGAUAUUUUUAGUCCAAGUUUAUGGUAUGUGUUACUGGAAUGUUGUGAUUGAGGUGCCUAUGAUAGGCAUAUUGGUUCGAUGUUAAAUUGUGUGAAUUGACAUGCUUUAGGUGAUAGUUCAUAUUUUUGUAUAAUUGUAUAUACUUGUGGUACCAAUGAGGGAACAUUGGUUAGGCACUUAGGAUAGUUGAUUUAGCAUGUGUUAAACUUUUUUAAUGUCAUUUUGAAUGGGUCUUAUGGCUGGUAAAUGGAUUACUUAGGGUCUAAGUAAGCUUAAAAUGGUAAACCUGUUACUUAAGGUUCAUUUAGGUACACACGGCCUGAGACACGCCCUUGUCACUUGGCAAUAUGCCACACACGGUCUGAGGCACGACUGUGUGUUUUAUCUCAGUGUGUUACACGACCUGCGAUACGGUAAUGUGUCACAAGUCAGAGAGUUAUACAAUCUGGCACAUGACCUGCGACACGACCGUGUGGUCUAACUCAGUCAGUUACACGGGCAGGGACACAGGCUGAGACACAGCUGUGUGUCCCUAUUUCGAAAGUUACACAGUCUGAGGCAUUCCACCCGGCCUAGCCACAUGGCCGUGUGUCCCUUAUUUUGAAAUUUUUCAUAUUUUUCUUAAAAUUUCUGUUUUGCUUCAAAUUGAUCCCAAAUUGCCUCAAAGCUAUUUUUAGGGCCUCGAAGGCUUGAUUUAGGGACGAUAUGCUAAUGUUUGAUAUGUUUUAAAUGUAUUUUAUUUAAUUAAUAUUUAUUGAUAAAUGUUUCUUUAUUUUACAGAAAAUUUCCAUAACCCCUAAUCCGGCGAUGGAGACUGGUUAGGGGUGUUACAAGUCUUCUCUAAGACUGAUUUGAGAUCUAGAUAUUGUUAAUUAAAGGUGGAAAAUAAUUAUGUAACUUGGUUUGGUCGUUGGACCCAAGCUAUAAGAUGUUACAAUAGUUAAUAACAUUUACCAUACAUGAAUUCAUCUUAAAUAUCAAGUUAAAACAACGAGCAUUCAAGAACAUCAUUCUGUUGUGAUUUACAACCAAAAUCGAGCCUUAAUCGAGCUUACAAAGCUUUUAAACUAACUUUGGAACAAAUCAAGAUCAAUUUGAAACUUUUACAAAAGAUAUGUAAAAAAAAGUAAAACAAAGGUCACAUGUGCCGUGUGGACAGGCCGUGUGACAGGCUGAGGUCGUAUGAAGUCAAGUGACAUGGUUGUGUUUCCAGACCAUGUAACAAACUACUGUUGUAUAAUCCUGGGUCACACGGCCUUGUCGUUAGGCUGUGUAAUAGAUUGUGGCCAUGUGGAUCACCGUGCACCUAAAUUAAAUAGACCAUGUGGUCAUACCCUAUGCCCGUGUAUGGCACACAACCGUGUGGCAAACCGUGUGUGCCUAAAAUACCUUCCAAAACAAGCAAUCACAUCCUAGGUUCACUUAAGCCACAAGUCAUUCAAAAUUCAAACUUUUUAACCUGCCAAAAUAUACCAAAUAACAUCGAUACUAAGUGCCUAACCAGUAUGUCACAAUUGGCACCUCAAUUCAACCAUUAAUCAUCAAACAUUUAUGACACUCAUGCCAUAAUGUUCAUACCUGAACAUUCACAUACAAUUACCAUUUCAAUUUCUAAAAUAAGAUCAAGCAAAUUUUACAAAGACCUAAAACAUAAAUACCAAUUCACCAAGUAAAAGGCAUUAUAGGUACCAAAACAUGUAUAUAUCAACAUAAGCCACAAUCAAUCAAGGCAACCAUCAUGUUUAUAUCCAAAACACAUAAUUUACUUUCAAGAUGGCACAAAUCAUUCUUAAACUACUGAUAAUAAUAUAUUUCCAUUAACAUAUUUACAUGCCACUUAUAAUCAGGCCAAAAUGAGUAAAAUUCUACCAAAAAAGUUGACGGAUAAUGUGAUCCCCAAAUUCGAUCAAAUCGAAAGCACGAAUCCAAUAAUCUACAAUGAUGAAAAUGAAACAAGGUAAGCUUACGUAAAGCUUAGUAAGUUCAUAUAGUUUAAACACAACAUACCUAUCAUUUAAAAUCAUAUUAAUUGAAAUUAACAAAAAAAAACUUAGUAUUCCUUGCCACGUUACAUAUUCCUUACCAUACCAAAAUGGUUAGUCAUGAGCAUAUAGCAUCCUUAAAACAUAUAGAAAACAUAAUACUGACCACCUCUGGACAUACUAACGUCUAGAGUGUAAAUCCUGCAACCAAAUAUUAUUGUUAGGCAAUUUUCGCAAGUAUAUGGGUUAGAUUUUAAUAUAGAAUUAUACAACAAAGUAUUGGAGUACUCCGAGAAUCAUACCCAAGGUAGGCAAAACUAAACUAAUUUUAACUUAUAUGUUCACGGAUCUAAUUAGUAAUUUAAUUAAUUUAUUUUACGAUAAACCCUAAGGUGAUGAAAAAUUAUAUUGUAUGAGAAUAAUUAAAGUGCAUAAAAAUAAAGACGAAAAACUAACUUGUAAACUUGAUCAAUUCUGAGAACAGAAGACUAACUCACUUCGAUGAUCAUAACUAACUCCUAUUUUGGGUUCUAUUCAAUCAACUAGUCAUUAACCUAGUAGGAUCUCCCGAUCUUCUACUAAACUAAUGAUUCAAUAAGAACUACUUAUCUCUCAAUCUCACAGUCCAGAUCAGAUUGGUUUAAGGUGUUAAUGGAUAGACAAUACCAAUUUUGGGUUCAUUCCCACCUAGAGUCACCUAGGGUUGUUAGGCCUAGUGGUUUUAACUUCUUCUUAUCCCAACCAGCUGAUAUGUUAAAAUACCCUACAUAGAAGUUAAUUACUCCCACAUCCACUCUUUAAUCUCCCAUAAAAGGAUUAGUUCCUUAUGGAUCUAAUAAAAAUUAUAUACUUGAUUGAAACGAUAACCAUAAAUAAUAAAUCAAUAAUAAAGUUUAAGAAGAAUCUUGAUAUGUAUUGAUAAUUGCGAGAACAAAAAUCCACAAAGAGUUGACGAAUCCACAAAUCAAGUCUCAUGACAAAUGAAAAUAAAAGCUAGAAUAAAAUUACAAAUGAAAAUAACCUAAGUAGAAAAUAAACUAGAAAGAAACUGAAAAUAAAACUAAAUGAAAGCCCUAACCUAGAACUUGAAUAAAAAUUGAUUAUGAAGUGCUCAAAGAUGUCUAUUUGUAGGCUUAGGGUUCAUCAUCGUCCAUUGACCUCUGGUUUGUGUCACGACAUUGAUAGCAGAUUACAAGCUCAGGCUAGAUUGUAGGGACGUGUCACGACACCUUCUAUCUAUGUCGUGACAUUGAAGGCAGUUUGCUCCUUUUAAGUGCUCUGCUCAUUAUGUUGCGACAUCGACACUCUGUACUACAACACUGUGGCCAUUUCGUGCUCCUAUGCCUCUGAAUGAUGUCCUACACACUCAUCGAUUGCGUUAGACUUCCUUUAGGCUUAUUUUGGCUCUUAAGGUCAUAUAAAUAGUUCAAAUCACAAUUUUUUAUCAUUUAUGAAAUGAAAAUGAAUACUAAGUAAAUAUAAUGAAAUUGUUUUUAUACAAGCUCCUUAAGUACGAAGAAUGGUUUAAUCUACUACAACAAAUUGUGGCUGAUCAAAAACACAGGUUGUAACCACCCUAACCCGGCUCGAAGAGAUCACAUUAAUCACUGAAGUGAUCCUGUCUUUCUUUUUUCAAAUCCAUUCUCAAUUCUAAACUUGUUUUAAUAUAAUGAAUAUCUCAUAUUAAUCAAUUAAAAACUAACAUUAAUUUAGCAGCGCAAAUAAAUCAAUAAUCUUUGUAUAAUAAAUUAACCUAUUUAAAACACUUAAUAAAUAAACAAUAUUCUAAAACCAUUAUCAGUGAGUAAUAUUAAGUAUAAAUCAUUCCAUCUAUAUAAAUAACUAUUAAUAACAUGCAUCGUAAUUGAUGUAAUUAAAAAUAAUUGCUCAUACCAGGGUUUUUAAUAAAAUAAAAUGAUAAUCGUAAUAAUAAAUAAUAAUAAAUAAUUGGCGAGAACAAGCCGAGACCUUCUGCAUGUCGAGUCCGCAUCCGAAUCCAUUGAGUUAUCAAAAAAUACAGAAAAUAAGAGGAGUGAUCUAUGAAAGCUUCGUGGUAGUCCCUUUACAAUAAAUCAAAUCAAUAUUUGAAUAUGCAUGUUAAUCAUAAUAAUCAAAUCUAUACAAGAAUUCAGUUUUGUCACUUGAGAUAAGCAAAACAUUAAUAGUCAGUUAAAGUUAAUUGACCAAAUCAACUAUGGAGUCAUAAUAUCAUUCAUAUUAGAUAUAUGCACCUUCAUUAGUUUAGUCGUUUCAUAAUGUACUUUUUAAUAGGUACGCAUAAUAUGUCAUGCAACACUCAUUUUGACAUUUCAUUUAGCAUUCGUUAAUCCUACCCCCAGCCAUUAGCACUCCAAAUCCCUCUACCCUUGUCGCUCCAUGUCGUGGACUUAAUACCACUACAUUUAUUGGGUGGAGAUAAAAGAUGUCGUUUGGCUGAGAAUCCACAAUUGCUCACAGAUAAAAGCUGUUAGAGGGAUCGUGGCCACCUAGUAAAAUAAAAUUACAGUUUGAAUCUGUCAUUCUUUGGGUACACAACAAGAUCGUCACAGUUGGAAUCUUUUAUGGCUGUGAAUACACAGCGAACUUGCAUUUAUUCAGUUAAUAUGAACUAUCGUUCUUCCACCUUUCAUAUCCUUCCCCCCCAUUCAUAUGCAACAUAAUUAGAUCUUUUCAAUUCGUUCAUUCAAUAAUUCUUUCAACAUUCUAUCUCAUUGAAAAAUAGGGACAAAGAACAAAUCAAUCAUUAAAGCAUGCAAAACAUUUAUUCGGCAUGAAAAACAUUAGUACACAUCUAUAAUCAUUCACAAAUUUAAAUAAUCAAUCAUAAGCAAUUAUAUCACAUUAGUAACCAUACAAUGAUUUAUGGAUUUAUGUCAUCAUUGAUAAUGAAUUAAAUUAUAAAUUCGUUCUGUCAUGCAUUUACUCAUUCUACUUCUAGUUCAGGACCUAAUUGUAAAAUCUAGUUUUCCAGAUGCCAUUAAAAACCUAAUUAGGGACUGAAUUGCAUAAAAUAAUUAAAGAUAAAACAAAUCUAAAAUUUUUCAGUUUCAAGGGCCACACGGCCGUGUGAUCAAACCAUGUGUGAAGCUCCAAGCCAUUUGCGAUGCAAUGACACGAGAGGAUACCGAGGGACAUGGCCGUGUGUGAUGUAACGACACAAGGGGAUACCGAGAGACAUGGUCGUGUGAUCCACAGAGGCUGGCCAAAAGCCUGUGUGGUCGACCGUUUCAAUUGGGCAGCUUCAAAUUUUGACACGAUUUUUCAUAAAAAGACACAUACCUGAUUUUUUUCGGGGUCUUAGGUAGUUACCCUUCACUCAAGCUCGAUCCAAUCUCCUAAAAGGGUUUUUCAAUUGACAAAACACAAGAAUCAAUGACGGAUUUACAAGAUUUGAGAGGGGUUUUGGAAAAAAACGUUAAAUAUUGAUAGCAGAUUGAAAUAUUUAAUGAAAACAACAAAAUUCCAAAAUUGACGAGUUCUAAUAAAUCGAAACAAGAAUUUUUAGCAAAAUUUUGAUGAAAAUACGAGACGUAAUUGACGAAAAAUCAACCGGUAGAGAAACGAGUUGAAAUCGGAAAUAGAUUAUGGUUUGGGAACAAAAAUAAUUAUCAACAAUGGAGAGAAAAUAUUUUCGAAGGAAAAGAUAAAGAAGAAAAAGAAAAUAAAUAAAAAUAAGGAAGAUAAAUUCUAUUAGGAUUUGAAAAUGAGUAAUUUAAAUUCUAGUUAAGAUAAGAAGAAGAUAAAAAAAAUAUGGAUUUCUAUUUUUAAGGAUAAGAGAUGAAGUUUUGUUGGGAUUGGAUUGGGGUGAAUUUCUAAGCUUUACAAACUCUUGAGGUGUCCUUAUAAUUUUUCCAAAGUUGAGGGUUUUACUACAAUUUUGCCAAAGUUAGGGCACCACCUACAAUUUCCCCACUUUUGCCGAAUUUAAAAGAAAAGGGAAAAGGGAAAUAUGAUUUAAACCCAAAUGCUUAAGAGUGCCAACGCCUUACCACUCAACCAAAGCCCAUUAAGUUUUUGCACUAAAUUAUACCUAUUGCUUAUUGCUAGAGGCUUUUGAAUUUUCAAAUUAAAAUUUAAAUAAAUGGAAAGAGUGAAAUUUGAACCAGAGUGAAAUUUGAACCUAUGCUCUCUAAUGAUGGAAAUUAACACUUAACCUUUAAAUCUAAAGUUUAUUUCUUAUUUAUUUUCGUCACUUAAUUAUAUAUAUUAAUUUUUGCUUCCAUUUACUUUUUUUUAUUACCUUACAUAUUUACCUAAUUUUUCUUUAACUUAUUUAGCCUAUAGUUUUUAAUACUCUCAUAUUUUAGUUUAUUUACAAUAAUUAAUGCUCAUAGUCAAGACUCACUAUUAAUAUUUUCAUUCAAUUUUACUGUGUCUUUCCAUUUAGGUCCAAACUCAAUCAAAACACUCUAUUUUCCAAUUACACUUUCUAAUCAAGUUUUGUUUUAGAUUAAUACAAUAACAUCUAAAUAUUCUAAACCCCUAAAACUUCUAGGUGUUACACAUGCCAUUCGCAUUCAAUCAAUGAAUAACAUUUCAUGCCAUAAGAUCCAAUUUCCAUUCAUUUCACUAACUUGUUUUGGGGGAACUUUAGUAAAUUAACUUUGGAUACACAGGAUAACUUUACUCACACAAGUUGACAAUUGGGACAUUAAUCGUUACUCGAUACUGUUCAGAAAGCUGUCGAGAAUAAGCAACAAAUGUUAGAUUCUAGCCAUCGGUAUGGUAUCCACCACCGGUACAUAGUACCUGAUAAAUAUAACAUUGGCACAGAGUGCCUGAUAAUUGUAACAUCGGUACAAAGUAUCUGAUAAAUCUAACCAUUGACACAUAGUGCCUAAUAAACACUAAUGACAUGUCAUUUGUAUCCUAAUCAUUCAUUAAGCUCCCCCGGGAAUUAACUCAAUUCCCACACUCUUUCAAUCUUUAUAACAUUAUACCAUGUUCAACUUGAUCAUAUGCAUUCCAUAUAAUAGUACAAUUCAUUCCAAACAUGUAUAAUAGCCAUACUUUACAAUUUAGUCCCUUAAUUCCAUUUCAAUGCUUAUCUCAAUUCACCAUAACAACAUUUACAUAUAUAUACACGUACAUAAUUCAAAUUGAAAUAAUUAUUCAAUAGAAUAAACCUAAUAUGAAGUUACCUAAACGAGAAAAUUACAAAUACCACAUCGAGGACAACUCAACAAUUUUCUCGUUUCCGCAAUUAUCAACUGGUUGGUCUGUUUCCUGAUCUAUAUAAUAAUUUAACUCAAUUCAUCAUUUCAAAUACCGUAAAAUAUAUACCUGCAUUUGAACAUUUAAUAAAAUUUUACAUUAUUACCCUAAACUUUUAUCUAUUAUUCAAUUUUGUCCCUAAAAUUGAAACUUCAAUAUUUAUCACAAAUAAGCCCAACACAUGUUAGCCAGAUUCAUCCUCAUUCAUUUGCAGCCCAUAAUUGAUGAAAAUUUACAAGAAUUUCAUUCAAAAUUCAUUAUUAUUUUAGUCCCUAAACUUAAAACUAACUAAAUUCACUAUACAAAAUAGUCCUAAUUCAACACCAAGCUUCAAAAUCAACCAUUAACAUUAAAAAAGCUUUAAGAAUAACGAUGGUAAAUUUUCAAAUCUUUAAAAAUUUUACAAAAUAGUCCCUACACUAGCUAGAUUAAGCUACAACGAUCUCAAAAACAUAAAAUUUACAAGAAACGAGCUUAAAAUCAACUCACUAACAAUUGUCGAAUAUCAAUGGAUGUUUGAAGCUUUCAUUUUCUUAUCUAAUGGAGGCUUUUCGGUGGUAAAAAAGAAAUGAAGAAUAUAAUAAUGUUUCUUUCUUUUCUUUUAUUUUUAUUACUUAGUUUUUAUAUUAUUUAAUAUAACUUAACAUAAAUUAAGCACAUGAAAAAAUGACUAAUCAUCCAUAACGGUCCAUUAUGGUCUAAUUUUCUUUUAAAACCCUCAAAACAUACUUUUAUACGCAAUAGCAAUUGACUUUUGAAUUAUUUAUGAUUUAGUCCUUUUGUUAAUUAACUAGUCAAACAUUAAAAUUAUCUAACCAAACCUUGUAAAUAUUAUUUAAAUAAUAUUAUUAACUCACUGGUCAGAAUUGUGGCCCUAAAACUACCCUUUUUGGUACCACUGAAAAAUGAGUUGUUACAAAUGUCGUGCUAAAAAUAGAGUCUCGUACGUGAUCUAGACACUAUGAAAAUUCAAGCAAUGCCAAUUGAGCAGUUGAAUGCUCUUGCAGCUUUCAUGGGUCUCAUGAAUCACAUUUUCCAGCCAUAUUGCGAUCAGCAUGUAAUGGUGUUCAUUGAUGAUAUAUUUAUUUAGAAGAAGAGUAUGAAAAGCACCUGAGAAUUGUUUUAUUAUUUUUGCAUGAAAAGAAACUAUAUAGAAAGCUCAUCAAAUGUGAAUCUUGAUUAUUACAAGAGAUUAGUAAGUGGAUUCUCCAAAAAAGCUUUGCUCAAAACAAAGCUUCUACAAAAGAAUAUGUUAUUUGUAUGGAUGAUCUUUGCCAAGAAAACUUCGAAAAGUUGAAGGCCAUGUUGACAAAAGCACUCAUUUUGACCUUUCUCGAAUCAAGGAAGGAAUAUUUUGUGUUCAAUGAUGCGUCACUCAAUGUUUUGGAAUGUUUUCUAGUGUAGGAUGGUAAAUUAAUUAUGUAAGCAUCCUGGUAGUUAAAUCACAUAAAUGCAAUUAUCCAACGCACAAUUUAGAGCUAGUUGUUGUGGUUUUUGCUCUAAAGAUCUAGAAGAACCAUCUAUUCGAUGAAAAAUGCUAUAUUUCUUCGAAUCGUAAAGUCUCAAAUAUCCCUUAUCCUAAAAGGGGUUAGAUCUGAGACGUCACUAGAUUGAAUUGUUAAAAAACUAUGAUGGUAUAAUUGAUUGUCAACCAGGAAAUCAGAUGUAGUGACUGAUUCUUUGAGUCAAAAGUCAGUUUUUAAGUUGAGAGGAAUGUCUUCUUAGAUGUGAUGAUGGCAACUUGUUAGUUGAAUUGAAAAUAAACCAAUUUUUGAUUAGUCAGAAGGAAAAUGCGUAAUCCAUAAGUAUUAAGCUGACAAAGGAAAGUAAACUUUCUUAGACAAGAGAUAAUAAAAAAUACAGUAUCAAUGUGAACAAUUUUCUUUGAUUGCGUAAUUGAAUCUAUGUAUCUUUCAAAGCUGAAAUGAAAAAAAAUAAUUUUGUGCAAAACUCACGAUGGUUCUUUUGUUAUGCAUCCUAGUGGUGUAGAAAUGUAUCAUGAUUUGUGUGAAUUAUUUUUUGUGGAAAGGUAUGGAAAGAGAAGUCAUCAAGUAUGUUGCUAAAUACUUCACUUGCCAACAAGCAAAGGUUGAACAUCAAGUUCCCACUGGGUUGCUUCCCCCUAUUUUGAUUCUCGAGUGGAUAUGGGAACAUUAUUUGCCACUAAUCAAAUUUGUCUAUAAUAAUAAUUUCUAAUCGAGCAUUCAAAUGGCUAUGUAUGAAACUUUCUAUGGUCGACAGUAUAAAACACCUUUAUGUUGGUCAGAGUUGAGUGAGAGAAAGAUGAUUGAGCCAAACUUGAUGCAGGAAGUGGAAAAUAUGGUAGAGCUAAUAUGAGGCAGAUUGAAAGCGGCCAAAAAUGGGCAAAAAUUUUAUGUUGAUCUGAAAUGGAAAGAUAUAGGUUAUGCUUUGGGUGAUAAAGUAUUAUUGAAAAUCUCUCCAUGGAAAAAGAUCUUGUGCUUUGGUCGCAAAGAAAAGCUAAGUCCCAGGAAUAUUAAGCCAUAUGAGAGCAUUGAUAGAAUUGGACCGAUUGUUUACGGUUUAACCCGGCCAUCAGGGUUGCAAAAGAUCAUGAUGUGUUUCAUGUAUCUAUACUCCAACGAUAUCGAUCCAAUCCUUCCCAUUUUAUAUCGAAAGAAGCAAUUGAAAUUCAAUAUGACCGAUAACAUGAAAACGAACUGGUAUAGAUAUUAACUUGAUAAGUAAAAGAGUUGAGAAAUAAGUCCAUGCAAUUACUGUAAGGCUCACAAUUUAAUUAUAGUGCAAAAGAAGCUAGUUGGGAACUGAAAUAGUCAAUGAGGUCCCAAUAUCUUGAGGGAGAAUUUUGAGGUAAAUAUUGAGAAUGAAAUUUCUUAAGGGAGAGAAUUGUAACAACUCGAAAUUUAAUUGUACCGGAAAGUGUGAUUUUGAAACCCCAUUUCCAUAAAUCGUGUAUGUAAAUAUAAAAUAAAAAUAUUUACAAAGUUAUUAUAAAAAUAUAUUGAAAUUUGGCAAAAUAAUUUAGCCAAAAAAGUAUUUAAGGCUUAGGAACUAAAUCGUAAAAGUUCAAUUGCUAGAGAGUUUUAAUUGAAAAAAGGCUUGAAGACCUAAAUGGCUAAUAAAACAUUGAUUGCAUUUAGUGGGUGGAUGAUUGUGAUCAUGCUGACUUAGUUACUAUUAACAAUUAAAAUAAUAUAAUAAAAACCUUAAUUUAAUUAACUAAUGUUAGUUAAAGGUUAAAUAUAUAUAAUGUUAGUCGAAAGAAAAUUUAUUUUCCAUCAUUUUCUUCCACCAUUUGAGAAAAGAAAAGAGAAAAGAUAAAAAAACACCAAGGAAGAUUGCAUUCAACCAAGCUAAUAAUUAAGGUAAUUUAAACAUUUUUCUUGUAAUUUUUAUAGAUUUAUGGUUAUGGGAGCUUGAUUUAGCUAGCUCAUGUAUCAAUUUGAUCAAUUUUUAAAGUUUUAGCAAGUUACCAAGGAAGAUUGCAUUCAACCAAGCUAAUAAUUAAGGUAAUUUAAACAUUUGUCUUGUAAUUUUUAUAGAUUUAUGGUUAUGGGAGCUUGAUUUAGCUAGCUCAUGUAUCAAUUUGAUCAAUUUUUAAAGUUUUAGCAAGUUGCCAUUAUUUGUUUAAUUGAUGGUUUAGACUUGAAUUUCAUAGAUAUUGAGUCUAAAUUGUAAAAAUGACUGAAUUAUAAAGUUAAUUAAGCUUUAAGGACCAAAUUUUGUAACACCCCUUUACUCGAUCCGACCGUCGGGUCCGAGUUACAAGAUGUCAAAUUUGUUGCCAGAGCAACUUUUGCCAAAUACAUAGAAAAAAAAUCAUUGCAAUUUUCAUCAUUCAGGCAAAACAAUAGUUUUAAAAACAUUACACAUCAUAAGCAACCAUUUUUUAGGUCUUAUACUGUUGGGAAAUGUGCCAUAUUGUAGUAAACAUGUAAUUACUUUCUAUUUAUUUGAACAAUGAAUAAAUAAAUAAAGUUAAUUUCACAUUUCACUAUUAUGUCUUUUGUAUUUCUGUCUUUUAUAUUUUGCAUGCAUAGCGAAAUUUUAACAAGCAAAUAUUAGUUCAUUGAUUGUCCAAGUUCAAACUGAAGAUAAGUGGCAUUGUAAGAACGUUUACAUUACAAGAAAGACAACUUACUUUAGUAAAUAAUUUAAAUAAGUUUGUAAUCUCGUAAAAGAAUCGAAGUGAGCAUUUGAUUCAAAUACUGAGAAGGAUUAUUAUGUUAUCUACAAUUCCAAUUUGGGAGGUGGCUAGUCUUGGUUAUGGGAGCAGUUGACUCCACGGGUUGAGACAUAAAUGUACUCAUUGGUAGAAUGAUACAUUGGACUGAACCCAAGAUGGAUUAAUUUUGAAUCCAUUUGUGAAUUAAUUCACUUGUGAUGUUUAUGGUGUGAUUUACCUAAAUCCUGAGUUAGUCACUAACCAUGCGUAUGCAACUCAUUUACUUUGAUAUAAGUGGAAGCUUAUGCUCUACAGAUGAUCGAGCCCUUAACCGGUAUGUUGGCUAUAUGACUUGUGAAUGGCAUGGAUUUACUAGCAAUAGUGGAAUUCAUAGCACAAUUAAAGAGUUAAUGAUCUCUUCUCAUUAGUAUUGUGUGGAUUGAUAAAUAUGGAACGUGGCCACAGUUUCCUCGUUAUCGAACGAGCAAUUUAUCACUGUCAUUUGUUGACAGUGAUCAUAGUAAUCAUUAAGAUGACACAAUGGUGACAAUGAGAUAAAAUAGGAUUGAAUUGAGUAAACGAAUUUAACUCAAACGAAUCAAGGAUAUCAUAUGAAGGUAACACACACAUGACAAGGCCAUUGGACAAAGUACUUGGAUGAAUGGAUUUCGUAAAGAGUAUACAAUAAGGAGUUUUCAAUCAUGGUACUUCUUGCGGACUGACUCCAUGAUUAAGAAAUUACAAAUUAUCGAAAUGAUGCUUCUAGACAUAAUUGCAAUUACUAGAGCCUAAUUGUAUAUGUCCGAUUGGUCCCUCCGGUAGCUCAACAAAAGCUCGAUUGUACUACAUUUGAAUUUGAAGAAAAUUCUACGACUUUGAAAAUAAUUUAAUUAAGUUUAUUUAUUCAAUGUGAAAUUAAAUUAGGUUGUCGUGAGAAUUAUUCAACUAGAGAAUUUGAUUAAAUAAUUUUCUUAAAAAAUUAAUUUUGAUUAAGUAAAAUUAAAUUAAUCAAAUUAAUUAAAAUUAAUAUAAUAUUUUUGGAAAUUAAUUUUCAAGUCAGACAAUUGACCCAAUGGGUAAUUGAACUUGAAAAUUAGACCAGAGGUCGUGAAUUGGGUCCGGGAGCCCAAAACUGAGACUAAGACCCAAAAACUGAUCGAGUAGAGCCCGGUAUGUGAAACAGUUCUGAUGGUCUAACGGUGGCUAGACCGCAUCGGUCGGGUCGUAAUUGACCCAGAUCAAAAUGGCAGUAGCCAAACCGACUCGGGAUGCAGUAAGGGUGUCGCACCUGCAUCAUCGGACACGGCAAUGCUGGUGACUGUGACGGUGGCGUCCCAGUGUUCGGCGAUCGUUGGUCUUCGGUGGUUAAGUCGUGGAAGAGUUACACUCCUACAAGUACUCUACCAAAGAAUUUGAUUUCAGAUUGACUAUUCCAAAAAUAAUAUUAUUUUAAUAGUUUAAUAUUAAAUCUAAUUUAAUACUUAUCUUAAUAAUAUUUUAUUAAUUUAAUAUUAAAUUGAUUAUCUUAAUCUUAAAUUUAAUUUAAUGUUUAUCUUGUAGAUAAACAUUCUAUUAUUUUAAUCAGAUUUAAUAUUACAUUAAAUCUAUAUUAAUUUAAUAUUAAAAUGAUUAAGUUUAAUUAUAGUUAAACUCUCUAAACUCUCCCUAUAUAAAGAGAGUCUUGGGUCAUUAUUUUAUACACACUUAAAUUAAAGAGAAAGUUGCAGAGAAAAAAUUCUCUGAAGUGAUUAUUUCAAAAAAUUUCUAGAGAUAGUUUUCUAAUUUACAACUUGACCCAAAAGUUUAGAGAAAUCGCGAAAUUACCCUAUUGGUAAUUUUUGUGAAAAAUUUUCUAAUUCGAAACAAGCCUACAGUCGAUUGACGUGAGCUUGAGGAUAGUAGAAAAGACUAUUUUUAUUUCAAUUUAUCAUAUUAGGAUUUAGGUAAAUUCUAUUUUAUUUAGUUAUUCCAUUUUAUUUCAAUUUUUGAGAAAAGUUAGGAAAAUCCUAAAAAUAACUCCUAUAUUUCCUUCAUUCUCUCUCUCACGUCAAAAUUUUCCCCAAUUUCAUUGUUCUACAUUUUCUUUAGUUGUUGCUUUCCUUUUUGCCAUUUUUUUCUCUUUUUUGUUCUCAAUUCACCUUUUUUCUUGGGUUCUUUUCCUUUGUUCGCCAUUGGUAGACAUUAAUUGUAGUAGUUUUGUGUUGCUUCAAUUGUCUCAACAACAUUAUCGUCAAUUUUCGGUUCUUCUUUCAACCUUGUGUCGUACCGGGUGAGUGUAAGUACUGUUCUUUUUAGUUUUACAUUGGAUUCUUAGAUUUGUUUAUGCAAGAUUUUAAUUGAAAUUCAUAUAGGUUGUUUAUAUUUGUAAAAUUGAGUUUUCAGAUCUGUUUAUUACGGAAUAUCGAUUGAUUUUUUUAGUACUUUGGAAACAUAUUUUCAGGUGUAUUUCUUGAACACUCAUACUUAGGGAUGCUUUUUGUGGUUUAAUUUAAUGUUUUGCUAUAAGGUUUGGUGUGGUUUUCAAGCCACGCGGGCGAUCCACUUAGCCGUAUGCCACUUAAGAAAUUAGGUAAGCUAUCUUGUCACAUGGCCUGGGUGGGUCAUACUGGCUGGCCACACGACCGUGUGACCUCUAUUUGGGGAUUUUGUUUAUCAUACGCGAGCAUGUGUCUCAACGACACGGCUGUGUAUCACUGUCACAUGGGCGUGCCAUUCAGCCACACGAUCGUGUCUUCUCUAUUUCUAAAAUUGCAAAAUUUUGUCACACAGGUACAAUGAGUUAAACGGUCUGACCACAUGGCCGUGUACCCCUGUCACAGGGGCAUGUCUUACAGCCACACAGCCGUGUCUUUCAAUCACACAGAUGUGUCCCUCUGCCACACGGCUGUAUAUAUUGUCACCGGGUUUGGACCCUACCACACGACCGUGUGGCCUUAGUUUUGCUAUUUUACCUCUUUAAUGUUAAAUGAUUUGUUUAAGUCCUUAAGAGUCCAUUUGCAUGUUUAAGCCUUUGUAGGUAAGUUUUGGAUCAUGAAUAUUGUUUGAUAAGGUCUCUGAAUGACGUAUUAUUGUUAGAAUGUUUAUAUAUAUGUAUCUGUGUUCAUAUGAUUAAAUUUUAGGAAUUUGCAUAAAUAGUGUAUGUUGUGGUAUCUUAAUCUGGUAUAUGAAAAUGGUUAAAUAUGAUAAUGGGAAAGGUUAAAUUGUUAUAUCUGCUACUUUAUAAUCGAAUACUAGUUUGUCAAAUUCUGAUUCUGCUAAUCUGAACCGUUUAUUUAUGUGAUUAUUGGUUAUGAAAUUUGAAGAUGAGCAUGUCUGAUUCUGUAAAUCUGUAUGCAUAAUGCUUGUAUUGCAUUGUGGUUGGGAUAUGAAUAUGAAGAGAAGGAAGUUAGAUUUGGUAGUUAAAUUGCACUACUAUUAUAUUAUAGUGGUAAAAUCGCAUUCAUGUUAGCAGUUUGACAGCAUAACGAACAUGUGGCAUAUGACUACUUUAUAGUGUGAUUUGGUUGGAUGGGUCCACAAUAACCCAAAAAUUGGUGUGUAGAGGUUGGAAAGAGUCUAGUAGACCCUUAUUUGGUGUGUAACAGAUAAUUGAAGAUGGUGUGUAGAGGCUGGUUAGAUGGGGUUUGAUGACAUUUUGCAUUUGAAUAUGAUUUGCAUAUCUGUUUAAAGAUAAUUUAAAUCGAUGUGUUAAAUUCGAUGUGAUAUUUGAAUAUGGUUAUAUCUAACUUCUGUAUGUGGGUUCAAUUAAUUGUCACUGAAUUGUUUGAUUAUUUUGAUACUAUUUAGCUAAGUAUGCUUAAGACUCACAUUGAGCUUUCGUAGCACACCCUUAGUUUCUCUUUUUCAGGUAACCCUUAAGAUCACCCCAAACCUGGCCUAGACGCUCUGGGAGAAUCUGGAAUGUUACGAAGAAAAGUUAAGAAUUCGAUUUUAUAAUACUAAAACCUCGUAUAAUUUAUUAAUAAAAGAGUUCACAUUUUAGAAAAACAUAUUAUUAUGCUCAUUAAUGAAUCCAUUAAUUGUUUGCUCUUUCAAGUAAAGCAAUAAUUUGCAGCGGAAGUUUAAAAGUCGUAACAUUUUCAAAACUGAGUUUAUGUUCGCAAAAACAUUUGUUUCCGUAAAAUCGUUGUUUUCGUAAAUUACUUUGUUGAGCGUCGCAAGAAACUUAAAUCAAAUCCAAAACCAACAACAAACCAAAAAGUCUAGAGAGUCUCAUAUUUACAAAACUCUCAAAAUAAACCAGAAAUUUAAAUAAACUUUAUAAAUAAACAAAAUUUACGGACGUGUGAAAACCUUUGAGGAUUACCUGAACAGAGCAGACAAACAAAAAUUGAGUUUUAAAAACUUAGUGUGUAACUCAACGGAAACAUUUAAAUACUCAGAUUUUUUGCAUAACAGAAUAGAUACAGACAUAAAUCCUUAAUAGAAUCAGAUAACAACAGAAUCAUACAGAUAUGUAAGGUCCUACCCCGAUCCUCUACACACCAACUCCGACCAUCCCAACACACCACGUGGGGUAUAAAAAACCCACCCAGCCCUACACACUACAUAGUGUCCGUACGACACUUAUUAGAAUAAUCGCAGUCAUGCUGCCAGAAUAAUGGUGACAUAUCGCCUAUCAGAAUACUUCGUCCACAUAAACACAUCCCACCCCAAACACAGAUAUAGAUAUACAAAAUAACAGAUAAUAUACAUGCUUAUACAUAACAGACAUAAUACACGCAUAUGCGUGACAGAGCAGAUCAUACAUAUCAUGUCUCAUUAAUCUCGUACAAACCUUAUUUAAGCCAUUUUCAGUCUAACAGAAUAACAAGUUCCAUGCUUAAGGGUUUCCCUAUGGAAGGCCCACAGUCGAUCAGAACGACGUGUGCGACCCUAGGAAAAAAUUCUAAAAUUUGGGCCCAAAUGCCCGUGUGGCCCAUACACCCAAAUUGGCCCUGCCCGCGUGUCACACAUGGCCUACCACACGUCCGAGCACACACUCGUGUGGCGUCAAUAGGCUAGAUUUUCAACUUUCACCAAUCGUCAUUUUCUCGUGUUUUCGUUACACACCUGGUUCAUUUUUUAUGUGAAAGCAAUUUCAAUACCUCCGAAACCUAAAAACAGCAGUUAAUACUCAUCAAAUCAAUACCAAUCCAUAAUAUUCAAUCACCAAAAACAACUCAAAUGACUUACACAACACUUCCAAAAGAACAUCCAUAUACUUACCUCUUAAGAACAACCACCACAAGAGUUCUAUGCCACUGGAGGCGCCCCAACCACGUCUUGUACUUCUCCUAAGCAACACAUUCACAAAGCUUCAAUUCUUUAAUUACACCUAAUACGUCAUAUCAAAAGGUCUAAUUCCAAUCGGGUUUACAGAAGUCAAAAGCUAAAGUUAAGAAAAACUCUACUUACCAAACUGAACGAGAAAAAUCAGAAAUUCGAAACACCACAAUUGAACAAAAGACUUGUGACAAAAUUAAAAAAGUGAAGAAAGGAAAUUUUGUUAGAUAACAAAGAAAGAAAACGUCAAAUGGGAGGAAUUUUGGGAAAGAGAGAGAAUGAGAAAAUCAAAUAAAAUAAAACACUAUCCCACUCCCCCACUAACCAACCACAAUCCUAUAAAAUCUAACCCACUAACCUCAUCCAACUACCACAGACUUUCUAUCCAACCGAACUUCUACUACACAAACCGGCACACACUCAUAGAAGCAAAAAUAACAUCCUUCACGCACAUAGGGGUUUGAACACAAGACCCUAAGGCAAGCUAACACCUUACCACUUGAACCAACAGGCUUAUUCUAAUAUGAGUUUACCGAAUAUAACAUAAGUCCACCCAAAAGGGAUGAUGCUAGGAUAAAAAAAAAUAAUAGAAUUUCCAACAAUGGGGCUUGAACCCAAGACCUCAAACAUACAAUCAGAACACUUAGCCACUAAAGCAAAUACAUAUUUAUGGUAGAAUUUAAAAAAAUAUUUUUUAAGUAAUUCAGGGCGUUACAAGUUGGAUUCGACAAAUUGGACGUCUCAGAAUUUCUCAAUUUGGUUUGGUUUUUAAUAAAGUUUUUCGUAAAUUUUGAUAAGUUGAUCUCGUCCAGACUAUAAAUAAAUCUUAGUGGAUUGUGGUAUAAGUUUUGUUUGAACUUUGGACAUUCGUAAAAACUCUAUAAUUUUGGUUUGACUUAUUUUGCAAAUUACAUGCAUGAUUAUAAGUUUCAAGAUUGAAACUUUUCCUUUGCAAUUCGUUAGGUUUUAACAAUAAGUUUAUGAUUUUCAAUCAAGAUAAACAAAUAUUUUGUUAUGUUACAAAUUUUGAACUAAAGUUUUAGUUAAUGGUUUUUCAACUUCCUUUUUGUUGCAAACAUGUUUAAUUCAUUAAAUGCGAAUUUGGUUCCAAGUAAGUUUUCAAGCGAAAAAUAAGUUCAACAUUUGCAAAACAUUUUGGUAAAGUUCGUUUUAUUUUUUAGUAAGUUGCGAGUAAAAAUGUUUUUUGAAACGAACUUUAUUAUGUAAAUCAUUAUUUUAUUUUGGGCCAUUUCCGUGGCUAAUGUGACAUCUGAAAUCCGGUCGAAACUCCUGAGCUAGGAUUUUGAUUAAGUGUUUAUUACUUUAGAUAUCACAACCAACUUUGUUGAGUCUGAGAUUCUAUCUGGAUGAUGAAGUCGAUGCUCGGGAUUUCGUAUUUAACCUAAACUGCACACAAAAAAUAAAACCAUAUGCUGAGUAAUAAACUCAGUGGCAUUUCUAUAAUUCAAAAGGUAACAACUUAAUAUAAAAACAUGACAAUAAGUAUAUGGACUCAAUUUGUAAUUUAUAUAAGUUCAUAUAUAUAUAUUUAUAUAGAUAAGUAUGAAUGUCCCAUUAGGAAAGCCAAAUUUUUUUUAUCAUUUCAACAUUAUUAUUUUGUACCAUAUUUGUAUACUUACACUUAUCAAAUUAUAUAUCACAAUUCAUAUAAAAUCUACCUUAGGGCCAAAUCGCAUUUAUAUUCUCCUAAUAGCCUAGCUUGGAUUUUAAAGAUGAAUACUGAGAUUAAGCAAUUAGGAUUUAAAAUUGGCACCAUAGUGCAUUACUGGAUAAACCGAAGCAAUCAUGUUGGAACGUAAGUGCAUCAUCGAAUAUACCAAAAUGUACAGUUAAUAGAAUAAAAAAUUUCCAAUGUCAACCUUAGAAUUUCAACUUAAUAAUCGUUAAUAACUCACAUUAGAUCCUAAAUAUGUUUAUAGAUUUAUUCACUUGUGACGUUCUUAGUGUGACUCGUACACUUCGAUGUAAGUAAAAGUCUGAAUUCGAAUAGAUAGGGAACCGAAAGCUAUUGCGUUGGGUGUACGACUUCUGCAGUAUGUAGUGUCAUUGACAAUAAUGGAAUUCAUAGUAUGAGGCAUGGGUAAAUGAUAUCCUCUCAUUGUUAUUACAUGGUUGAUGAAAAGUAAACAUGGCCACAGGUCGUUGGUCUUUGUGAUGAAUGAUUUGAUUACUAUUUGAUAGUAAUUGACUUUUCAUGAAUGAAGAUGUAAUGGUUACCAUGAGAUAAAAUAGGAUCAUAUUGGGAGAAUGGAUAUUAUCUCAAAAAGAUUAAAGAUAUCCUAUAAGGGUAACACACUUAUAAUAAGGUCAUUAGAUGAGCACUGAUCGAGUUUCUUUCAUAAUGGUAUGUUGUUGGGGAGAGCUCAGUCACGAUACUAUAGUGGAAUGACUUCGUGAAUAAAUAAGUUUAUAAUUAAUAGGUGAAAAGCUAGAACUUAAUAAUAAAUCAUUUGAGCCUCAAUUGCAUAUGUUUAAUUGGUCCCUCCGCUAGCUCGUUGAAACCAGAAAUGAAUUGCAUGUUGAAUCAAAUGAACAAAAUUGAAUUGAAAUGGUGAAAUGGUGAAAUGGGAAAAUAGGAAACAUUUGGAAAUGAUUAUAGUUUUCUCCAAAAUGAAAAUGAAAAUGGAGAAAUGGAGUCAUUUCAAAAUUAUUAUAGUUUUCUUCAAAAUGAAAAUGAAAAUGAAAAUGACCUGAAAAAUGAAUUUAUGUUUUUCGAAUUAAAUGAAAUUCAAAAAAAUAGAAAUAAAUCAUUUGGUCAUAAUGAAUCAUUGAAUAAGGAAAUAUUAGAUAUAUUUUCUCGUAGAUUCUUUUACAGUAAAGUUAUCAUGAUUUUAACGGAAUUAGAAUUGGGUUGAGAAAAUUAUUUAAUUGGAAAUAUAUUGAAGUUUAUUUUGAGAAAUAGAAAAAAUAUUAGGUUGGAUCAAAUUAUAAAGUAUUAAGUUAAAAGCUCAUAAAGUACUUAUAAAUGGACCCGAUAUGGAAGAAGCCCAAAAACCUCUUAUGUUAUAAAGUGGGACGACAAACCCUAGUAUUAUUAACUAGGGUUGUCACCCCCUAUAUCCUAGUUAGACUAGGAGUUCAUUUUUCUAGUUGAAAUAAACUUUUACAAUUCAACAAGGGUUCUACCUUCCUUCCCUAUAAAUAGAUGGAACUAGUAGGGUUAUUUGCACAACUUUCAAAUAUAGUUAUUUUUCCCAAAAAUAGAAAAACUUUUAUUCUAUUAGAAUUAAAUAUAUUUUUUGGAAUAAUGAUUCUGGCGGUUUCUAUUUGAGAAGAGAAUUUUUUUUUCAUCCAAAAAAAAAAGAAAACUAUUUCUAGUUCUGUAUUUGAUUCGAAUUGUUCGAGCCCACACUUGAAAGAGCUCGUGGUAUGAAAAUAGCGGACGAGACUGUUUGGUUGAAAGUCGGGAACGACAAGGAUCCGUCUAUCCGAAAACAUAAAUGAGAUUUUGGUCUAGGGUUUAUUGCUAUAAAUAUCACAAACAGAGCCGAUUUUCAAAAUUUUAUUUUUAGCUGUGCGAGAAAAUCAUUUUCGAACUGGAUUUUUUCCAACAAUAAUUGUGUCGAAUAGUGAGACCGAGAGUAGAGCUUAAGUGGUAUCUUUUAGUCUAGGGUGAGACUGAGAGAAAAUUUCUAGCUAAGAGUGGCAACCAAUGUAAUCGGUAUAGGUUUGUUAGCUUAGUUAGCGAUUAACGAAUCAUUCGACCAUCAUUUUAAUCAUUUAUAUUGUCCAAAACAAUAGAAAGAAAGUUUAGCUUAAUCUGUUUAAUUGAUAAUUUAAAUUUAGUUUAUAAACCAUUUAUGUUUGAAUUUGCACUAAUAAUUUCAGACUCAAUUAGAUUAGUAAUUGCUUAGCUCGUAAUUAAUUUGACAAACACAUUUACCAAUUUGACAAUCCAUUGGGUUCAAUACUUGAAAUUUUUAAUAUGUUUCAUUGUAACACAUAUAAAUAUUACAAUUGACCUACUGCUAGAUAUUUAAAUUUAUUUGUGUUGGUUCAUAGCUUUGAUACACGCACAUGGAAGCGCAAUCAGGAACCAUGACCGUUCCUUGAUAAAGCUCCAUGUUUGUAUUGAAGUAAUAUAAAUUAAAGGAAAUGAAAGCAAGUUUCUCUUGUCUGGUGGUCUGUUUUUUUUUUUUUAAUUAUUUAAGGAAAAGCUUAGAGAAUUGAGUAGUCAUUGUUUUCGUUCAAAAUGUAAAAUUUUUAAUUACCCCAAGCCAGGGGAAAAAUUAGGGAAAGGGAAGUAAAUAGAUUUUUAAAAUGUAAAAUAUCAUUUUUAUCCUCCUUAAUUUUUACAUAAUUAUAUUAUAAAAAUUUAUGAUUGUAAAAAUCACUAUAUUUGAUUAUUUCAUUUUCUUUCCACAGUUUAUCCUAACAAAAAUGGUUAAAUUUACUUUCAUUUCAUUUUCCUUAUUAAUUUUAACAAUCAAAACAAAAACAAUCUUUUCCUCAACCUUCUUUUCUUUUACAAUCAUUAAUCCAAACUUAGGGUGCGUUUGGUUCGCUGUAUUGGAUUAGAGGUGUAAUAGCUAAUCCACUGUUUGGUUGAAUAUAAUGGAAUAGAGGCGUAAUAGUAAUCUUGUGUUUGGUUGAAUGGAAUAGAGGUGUAAUAGCAUAAUGGAAAAAACUAAAAUGACUAGAAUACCCUUAGCGUAAAAUUGUUUUGGUAAAUGAUUAUUGUUAUUGUUAUUUAAAUUUUAAUAAGAUUAUUAUUAUCAGUAAUAAAUAUUUUAAUCAUAUUUAAACAUAAUUAUAAUUAAAUAUAUUUUAAUUAAAAUAUAUAAUUUAAUAAAAUUCUUAUAAUUAGCAGAAAAUUGUUUUGGUAAAUGAUUACUGUUAAUGUUAUUUAAAUUUUAAUAAGAUUAUUAUUAUCAGUAAUAAUAUUUUAAUCAUAUUUAAACAUAAUUAUAAUUAAAUUAUAUUUUAAUUAAAAUAUAUAAUUUAAUAAAAUUCUUAUAAUUAGCAGAAAAUUGUUUUGGUAAAUGAUUAUUGUUAAUGUUAUUUAAAUUUUAAUAAGAUUAUUAUUAUUAGUAAUAAAUAUUUUAAUCAUAUUUAAACAUAAGUAUUAUUAAUAUAUUUUAAUUAAAAUAUAUAAUUUAAUAAAAUUUCUUAUAAUUAGCAGAAAUUUGUUAUUGUUAUUUAAAUUUUAAUAAGAUUAUUAAUAUCAAUAAUAAAUAAUUUAAUCAUAUUUAAACAAAAUUAUUAUUAAAUACAUUAUAAUUUUGGUAUAUAAUUUAAUAAAAUUCUUAAUAAUUCAUAUUCUUAAAUGAAUUUACUCAAAUCAUAAUAUAUGAUACUAAAUGAAAAUUUGAAAUAAUUAAUAUUAAAUAUAUUUUAAUUAAAAUAUAUGAUUUAAUACAAUUUAAAAUAAUUAUUAUUAAAUAUAAUUUCAUAAAAUGUUCUUAUGAAUUUACUAAAAUCAAAAUAUAACUUGAGAAUUAUUUUCUGCAUAAACAUAAUUAACUUAUACUAAGAAAAAGUUAGAUGAAAAUGAAAUUGUACAUCAUAAUCCAUAUGUUAUAUAGUUUUACAACAUCAAAAAGUUUGAACAUUGAUAUUUAAUGGUGAGAAAGAAAUCUUCUGACCCAUUCCAAUCGGGCAACAGAAGGUAAACUAAAGAAAACGAUCAUUUGAGUUGGAUGAUCGGGAAUUUUACUCAAAGCAUCAUACCGCUGAUCGUCGGUCAAACCUUCAAUUGACCAUAAGGCUGAAUAUAAAUUUGAAGCUUUCUCUUCCAUCUUUUCCUCUAACUUCUGCUGAACUACCACCUCGGAGGCCAUAGUCCUACUGAUUUGAUCGCCAACGGCCUGGAUUUUUUCCCCCAACAAAGUGGCAGCCUCCUCAAAUGAAGAAUACACAUUAUCACGAGCAUCAGAUUUCUUCUUUCUCUUAUUUGAAGAUGAGGAACCCCCUUGGUCUCUAUCUCCACGCAGAUCUGUACCAGAAACAUCCAUGUCGUCUAAAGAGACGUCAGCUUCGCAGUCAUAGAAUGUGUUUCUCUCUUCAUUCAUAUCUAUAGUACGUUCAUCCUCAGCAUGUAUUUCUUCAAGAACAUCAGCAGCUGUUUGAGCGUCUUUCCCAGUCGCCCGAUCUCUUGCGUAUAUCGCAGUAAGCUGGUUGUAGUAAGGGAAAGAACGAUGUCUGAACUGAGAGGCUUCUUUGUGACUCUAAAAAAAUGAGGAAAUCAUAUUAGUUAUAAGUUUUGUAAAAAAACAAAUAAAUACUUGAAAUACAUUUUACCUUUACAUAGGAUUCCCAAACUGCAUCUUCAGCAACAACGAGCUGCCUAUGCUCGUCCCAACCAAAACCACUGUUUUUUUGGCCAUUAAGCAUGUCGUAGAUGACUGACCAUUCCCUUUUUAAGCACCUAAUCCGAGAUUCAAUAUUUGGUUUCGCCUUCAACAUUGCUCUUGGUAAAGCCUUUUCUAGCAUUUUCUCUAGCUCGUUCAAAUAACCGGCUUUGAACCCGGUAUCAGCAUUAAAUGUUCCUACAUUGUGCAAAUCCACCAUGCAAGAAACCAAGGCUGCAUCCUCCUCUGGAACCCAUUUUCUUUUGCUUCCUCGAGAAGCUUGAGAAGAAGUACCCGUUGGUGGAACACCUGACAUAUUGUUCUUAAAAAAAAACAAAUUAACAUUAUUUACUAUUUUGAAUAUCAUUUAAUUGUUGGGUGAACAGUUUAUAAUAUUAUAUCGGUAGUUCAAUACUAAAUUUAAAUUUAUAACACAUGCUUAAUGAAAAGAUAAUUACAUUAUAAUUCAACAAAGUUUCAUAAAGUUCAUAAAGACCACCAAAGUUUCACAAAGUAGAUACAUAAAAAAACAUCAACAAAUCAAUUCAAACUGAAUUUGUCCUUAAACCUAACUAAUUUCUAGAUGCUUGCCAUUCAUCGAACAUUUGGUUGGCUAGUUCCAUCCUCCAAGUUGCCCAAGCAUCUGAUGAAUGAAUAUUUGUGAUAUUCGGUUCAUCGUCAUCCACCACAUUAGUAGGUAAUCCUUCUCCCACCUCCGCUUCAAUGGGAUCAAUACUCAUAUGAGUUCAAAUAAAAUUAUGGAGCAAACAACAUGCAAUAAUAAUUCUAUUGUGCACCCUUACAGGAUAAAACGAUGGACUCUUAAGUAUUCCCCAUCUAAGUUUUAAUAAGCCAAAGCAUCUUUCAAUAACAUUACGUGCUGAGGCAUGUUUCAUAUUAAAAAACUCUUGCGGAGAACUUGGCUGAUAACCCUGACGCCACUCGUUCAGAUGAUAUCGCUGUCCUCUAAAUGGUGCAAGAAAUUCCUCACAAUUUGUGUAUCCAGCAUCAACUAGAUAAUAACAACCUAUAAAAUAAAUUGACUAAAAAAUGAUUAAUUCAGCAAACAAAUUUUGAUCUUAAUGAAUAAUUCAAAUUCCUCUAAGUAUACACUGUACCAUGAGGAACUUUUAGUCCAUGUCUUCUACUGAUGGCAUCUCGGAGCACCCGUCCAUCGGCAACUGAACCUUCCCAACCAGGAAGAACAUAAACAAAUUGCAUCUCAGGUGUACAAACACCUAGCAUAUUUGUUGCUAUGUCACCUUUUCGGGUUUGAUAUCUAGGUUUAUCAGCUGUUGGCACCCUAAUCUUGAUGUGGGUUCCAUCAAGAGCACCUAAGCAAUUCUAUAUCACAUGAUAUAAAACCUUGAGUUAGAAUACUAAUUUAAAUCUAAGUCAACUAAAUGUUGUACAAGUUAUAUAUAAAACUCAGUCUAAUACCUUAAACCAUUUCCACCUUGUGUCAGAAGAAUCGGCUGUAAUUGACUCCGGCUUUUUAAAUAAGACAUCUUGUAAGCCUAUGAUGGCAUUUAAAACACUAUGAAAUGCUCUGCUUACAGUUUCCCCGGACCUUCUAAAGUGAUGCUUGAUAACUCGAUUUUUCAGGUGAUGGGAGAUGAUAUGUAAAAACAUUGCUAGUUGCUCAUCAACAAGCAUGUUUCUUGACGACUUCAAUCCCCCUAUCGAUUCUAACAUCUCACAUAGUUUGAAAAAGGCAGAUCUAUUCAUCCUAACUUGUUCAAUACAGGUCUCGUCACUAGCAUAUACAAGCCUUUUCACAUAAUCCCGUUUUGCAUAAAAAUCUAAGGUAUAGGACAUAAUCCUUGGUCUAUAAGUAUGUAGGCUAAGGCUGGCACCCAUUCUAAAUAAGAACCAAAUCGCAAUUCUACAGAUUUCCAACCAUAUUGUCACAGCAAUACCAAUUCUUUUACGCCUCACACUUUGUGCAAUUAAAGGCAGACGAGCCAUAACCGCAACAUAUUAAAAUUGAAACUCAGUAUCAAUCCCCUGAAGUUGCAAUUACACAUUAUCAAAAAAGUAGAAUCUUUAUCGAUAUAUUUAUAAAUUAUAAAAUUUUUUCGGUUAUAGCAAUUUGCAUAAAUUUUUCGUCUUCAGAAUUAAAAUUUGUAGGUAUAUGUAUAAUUGAACUAAAAUAAGUUGUUGGUAUUUGUUAGAUUAUAACUAAACUCAUUAUGAUUUAAUAAAUUAUAAAGCAUGUUCAAAUUUGUAGCUUUUGCUUUUGAGUUCAAAAAUUAUAAUAUAAAUUUAAGAAGUAAUACUAUACUAGGCUUAAUAAUUAUAGAUAAAAAAUUUUUAUCAAAUUUAAGGAAAAUUGCUCCUAAGGUAAUUAAAUUGUUAAUAUAUUUACCUAAUGUCUCUCAACAUUUCUAAAAACUUAAAAAGAGAAACUGUAAAAUUAGACCUUCAAAUUAGUUAACUAACUAUUAAAUAAACAUUAUAAAUAACACUUUAAAAUUUAUUUUUUAAACUUUAGAGAUGCAAAAUUAUUAAAAUAAAUCUCGUAUAAGAUAUCUUUUUCAAUUAAUAAAAUAGCUAAUUCUUUCAAUUUUUGUUGAGAUAUUGUUAAUGUUCAGUAAGAUUUUAUCAAUUUUAAUUUUGAGAACAUUUUCUCCGUUGAUGCAACAAAAACAUGAGUAAUUAACAUUAUACGCAUUUGAAAAGGAAUAAACUCUUUAUGAAUAAUUAUGUCUAUUUUAGUGUCAUUUUAUAAUUUGAUAAUUUCUUUGAAAACCAUAUUAUAAUCAAUUCGAAUUAAAUAAGAAAUUUGAAUAUUAUUAUCAAGUAUAAAAAUUUGCGUUAGCAUUUUAAUCGGUUAAAGUAACAGUACAAAUAUUGAUGUACCAAAUCUUAUUAGAAAUUAACAUAUGAAGAUUUAAUCUUAACUUUGGACAAAUUAUAACCAUCAAAAUUGAAACUUGAUUGUUUAUACAUAAUUUACAGCAUUUACAGCAUUUCAUUUCAUUUUAAAUUUGGACAUUAUAUAACCUUCGAAAUCGAAAUUGAAACUUGAUUGUUUAUACAUAAUUAACCCUUAAUCGAAUAUCUACCUCUACAUCAAGUAACCCAUUUACAGCAUUUCAUUUCAAAAUCUAAAUAACAGAGCUAUAUCCUACCAUACUUGCAAUUAAUUAUCCCCAAAACAAGCCGGAACCAGAACAUAUCACAACUCUUUCAAACAACAGCAGAGUAUCACAAAACUGUCUGAAUUUAAAUGGCAAUUCACAAGUCUGGAUCAGUCAUUAAGCUAACUUAGAAAACAAAGCUGUAAUUGCUCACUGCCUCAAGUCUGCAGUUAAGCUUAUUAACUUUGAUUGCAACCAAAAUGAACCUAAUGGUUCUGUACUACUACCUAUGAAAUAAUAAACAUAGCUUUAAUAAUUAAUAUAACAUACUUGCAUGCCUUAAAAGUAUUUGGAUUACAUAACAAAGGAAAAGAAACAACAUCUCUUCCAUGUAUCAGAUGUAAAAUAUAUAUCAAACCCAACACCAUUCCACCUAAGCUAAGCAAACUGGAACCAAAUCUAGCCAAAACACCAGAGCAUUACUAACAACAAAAUAUAAACAGACCAAACAGACUAAGACACAAGAACAACUAAAAUUACGCAAAUAAUAUUUGUUUGGAAUUUGAGCAGAUUAAGAUUGCCAAACAACAACUAAACAAUCAUAAAGCUCAUUAGCAUGCCAAAGAACAAAAACAAAAGAUCGAAACCAGUUAAGAAGGAAUAGCAAGGGAGAGCAGAUUCGUCCCCUCAAGUUUCUCCUCACAAAUCGCAGAGGAGUUUUACUUGGGGAGGAUAUCUUCAAUUGUUUGGGGAUUAGAAGUAGUAAUGGGGGGCGUAAAUAUAGUUUUGAGUUCCAAACAGACCAAGACGCAACAAAAAACAAAGAAUUUGAAAAAAAAGGAAAACUAACCUGUAACCAGGGAAAUCGGGGAACUCAAAACGAUGUACAACAACCUGUAAUGAGAAAAGGGAAAUCGGGUGAAUGCAAAUCGGUGAAGAGUGAAAAGAGUGAAUGCAAACCUCUGGAAAACUUACCCGCUGACAGCAAAUCGGGGAAGAGUGCGAUGAAGAAGGUGUCUGAAACGAGAAAAGGGAAAUCGAUUUGGGUUAGUGAACAGUGAAAAUAAAACAGCAAAUCGGUUCCUCCUUCUUGAUAAAAUGAAGAAAAUCAAAGAAACCCUAAACUUAAAUCAAUGACGGACUGCUGGGAAGGGCAAAAAAUAUUACCUGUGCAAGGAGGCGUCGGAGAAUCAGAAGGUUGAGGACGAGGGCAAAAAACGAAAUAGGAAAAUGGGAAAACACCGAUUAGGCAAUCGGGGAUGAGGGGCCGUAUUACCUAAUACGCGCAAUAAAGGCUUUAGGGGGGUAACCGAUUACACAUGGAUUGGGGUAACAGCGAACCAAAUGCCCGUUUACCUGUGGGCCCGCUGCAUAGGGGGGGAAUACGCAUGCAAUCCCCCCAACCAAACGCGUUAGUGUAGCAAAUAUUUUUUUGGUCUAGAAAUAUUUUUACUGCCAAUUAUAUCAUUGGCUUAAUAGUAAAUUUGUGUGAAUUUUAUGUUGAAUGGCAUGAAGUUUAGAAUUCAGUCCGUAUAUUUGUAAAUCUCUUAUCCUAUGUAGUUACUUGUAUAAAAAAUAUUAUUUAUUUUUAAUUAAUCCCAAUUUUUUAAAUAUGAUAUUAAUUAAAAUUCUAAUUAAAUUAAUGAGACCCAGAUGAGUUUGCCAUUAUUUUUCUUCGCUUUUUGCUAAUGCAACUUUAGUUUCUUAGUAAGUAAAAAUUUAUACCAAUGUAUAAAAAUGUUUAAAUAUCUUAAAAUAUUCUUUAAAAUUUUAAAAUUUAAUUUUUGCGCUUUAAUUUUGAAACAUUAAGUCUCCGUGUUUUUUUGGAUUUAAAAAUUAAUUAGGGGUUAUAGGAAAGGUGAAAUAAAUUUCUUAACUCUCAACAUUUACAGUUGUUUAUCAAUUUGAUCCUUACUCUUUAAAAGUAAAUAAUUUUAAAAAAAUUAUUUUUUCCAUUUUUUAAAUAAAAACAUAAAAUAUUUUGAAAAAUAAACUUAUGAAAAAUAAAAGCUAAUUAAAAAUAAAAAAUAAAAAUCAUUUUAAAUAUAAAAUUAUUCACAAUUUAAUUUUGUCUAAAUCAAACUUGAUUGGCCAAAUGAACUAUUAAUCGACUGGUUGAAUCGGUAGUUGAAUCGAGUUUUAUACUUUUUAAUAUUUUUUAUUUUUAAUAAUUUAUUUGCUUUGAACCAAUUGGAUUGUUCAAACUGAGAAUCGAUUGGUCAAACUGAUUUUAACCACUGGUCUAGUUCAAUAAGCAUUGCCAGAAUUUCAAAAAAAAAUCAAAAAUUUGAGGAGUAAAUAACAUUUCUUUUGAAAUUUUGGUAAUGUUUUUGGAAUUAGAUAAAUGGUCAAACUAGUUAGACCAAUUGAUUCUCAAUUUCAAAUAGUUUAACCAAUUCAAACAGUUUGAUCAGUUCAAAACAAAUAAAUUAUUAAAAAAUUAAAAAUCAAAACUAUUUAUACUAACCAAUGAUAUUGUAAAAAUUGAGGAACCCAAUUAUAUCAAAUUAAAAUAUAAAAAUUAAAUCUUAAAUUUAGGAUAGUAGAGAGACCAUAACCAUAAUUUAACCUAAAAUAAUGUAUGAUAGAAAGUUAAAUAUUCAACACUCUUCAAUUUUUUUAUUGUAAGGAUAUAUAUAUAUAUAUAUUACAUAUUUGAGUAUUAAAUUUAUUGUCUAGUAUUGAUUUAUAGUACAUAUAUGAAUAUAUAUCACUCAAAUUUCUUUGAUCUUAAAUCAAAUAUAUUUUAGAUAUUUGAAUUUGUUAUUGAAAUUUGAGUUAUUUAUAAUAAUAUUUUUUAUUUAUUUGUUCUAUAAAUGGGAUCAUAUAAUUUGGGGGAGAAAAGUAAUCACCACAUGUUGUAGAUAAUGAAUAACAAGUUUUUAUUAACAUAACAAAGACUUCAUCCUUAGCAUCAAUAGAACAUUAUAGUACGCUAACAACUGACACUAACACAACUUAAGCACAACAUAUUUGGAUUGAUUGCAAGCACUUAACAUGAUAAGUAAAUUAGUCCCGAAUGCUUCAUAGUGGCAAACAAAAUUGGGUUAAGAACUAAGCAUCCACCAAACUAGAGAAAACGACGAAAAAUUCGUCCCUAAAAUCAUUUGCAAAAACAAGACUAGUACAUUUUAUAAAUUGAAUAAAAAUAAUAAUAAUGAAUGAAUGAAUGAAUGAAAUUUAUUAAAUCAUUUAAAAGUGAAAAUGCUUUAAAAUUUAAAUUAUAUUUAUAAUUUGAAAAUAAAAAAAUUAUAUUAUUUUUAAUAUAUUUUUUAAUGAAAAUUUAUAAAUUAGUUGAUUAAGAGAGAGUGUGUGUGUGUCUCGCGUUGUUUAUCGUUUCUAGCGGGAUGGUUUAAGGAAUCGGCCCACUAAUCAUUCCAAUCGGACGAAGGCUUCUGCGGUCGCACGCUGUUAUUUUUUAUUAUUACUUUUUUGUUCAUUUCGAAAGAAUCGUACCAUAUAAUGGCCUGAUCAUCAGGUUUAGACGUAGGGCCUAGAACAGUGGCGUAAUAAGCGGGCAUUGCCACCACUUCCUUUGCUUAAAUGAUCUUUCACAUUUUACUUAGCUUUUCUUGUUUGUAAUAUAAUAUACUUUCAUGGCAUUUAUUUUCCCAUCUUUUCAGUAAAUUAAGUCUUGGAUUUUUUUUUCUUUUAAAUUUUUGGAUCAAUUUAUUAUGAAUUUAAAAUUUAUGUCUAACUUAAAUAUAGGAAUAUUUCAAAAAAAUUACUGCCCACAUAGAGUUACAUAAAAUAGAAUCUUAUAUCUAUAACAUCUUUAACUCUAAAGAAAAAAAAAACCUAGCUGAAAAUUAUGGAAUCAAAAGAGUAAAUCCUUAGUAUAGAUUGAAAAAAGAAAUCCAAAAAAUGAAGUUUAGGAUUUUUACUAAUAAGAUUUUUGUAUUUUUUAUUUCAUCAAUUUGCAAUGGCUGGAGAAUCUUCUUCAGGAAAAAUAUGAAGUUUGAAUUUAUUUAAUAUUUAAGAAGAAAACAUAAUUUACUUUUUAUAACAUAAAUAAUGUUUAAUUUACCGGAUUACUCUUAUUUAUUAAAAAUUAAUUUUAACAGUUUCUUUUAUUUUUUCAUUUUUCUUGCAUGUAAUUUGUAAGUGUAUUUAUAUAUUUAAAUCAUGCAUAUUGAAGAGUGAGAGAACAAAUUUCAUUUGAUUUUUGCAUGAAUAGUGUAUUAUAUAUUUGAUGAAAGCCUAAGCUUUAGGCAAUGAUACAUACCCUUACACUUGAAGAAACGAAAAAAAAAAACAUCAAUUCCUAUAGAUUCAAUCUCCCAGAAAAUGGCGUAUCAGAGGGUCAAGAAGCUGUUGGUGACAUGAAUGUUGGAAUAAGAGGCGGGAGUUGAGCAGCCUUUGUUGAUUGAGAUUUUGUAAGAUAGCAUCCACCUUAGUUUUAUCUUCCCUUAACUGCUGUCUCUGGGCACUUGUCUCUUCCCUCUUCAAUGUUAUCUCUUCUCGAAGCUUUUUCAUUUCUGCUCUCAGUCUCUUCGAGAAAAAAAAAAUAAUUGUUAGAAGAUAUGGACAUCACAUAUAUAAUAAGGAUAAUUACAUAUUAUUAUUUACUAUUAUGAUAGGUUAGCCCAAAUUAAAAGUAAUCUAAUUUGAUUAAAAUUUUAUUGGGUUUUAAUUAUUAAAUAAAGUAUGGGUCAAAUAUGUGUAGAUACUCUAAUAAAUGAGUUAUAAUCAAAUUCUAAUUAAUGAUGGGCUAAUUAGGAAUUAGAACUAAUAUGCCAAGGUUAAAAAUAUUAGGGUUAUGGUCCCUAAAUUAUACACAAAAUAUAUUUUCUAAUAUCUCAUCCUUAGGAAAGAAAGAGCAAAUAUUCUCUAAAUUUUUUGUGUGCUAAUUUGGAAGAUCAAAUAUCUAAGAUCCGGAAAAACUUUAAGGAAUUCAUGAAUUCAGGUACGCUUCUGCAUCUAGUUUUGUUCUUGAUUUGUUCUUGAUGAUUUGACAUAAUAGAUACUAGUUUAUUAAGUUUUAUUUUAGAUUUAUUUUAUAAUUCUAACAAGUGGUAUUAGAUCUUCGUCAUGUUGAAUCAUUGAGAAUGAAUUGAUUCUUUAUUAUUUUUGGAUUGAUUCGUUUUUUUUAUUUUAUGAAUUUGGUAUUUUAAUUGUAUAUUAUGUUGAAUCUUUGAUAUUCAUGAUAAAAUUUUUGGGUUUUGAUUCUUUAAAUAAAGUUUUAGGGUUUUAUAAAUAUAAUCUAGUUUAAUACUUGCAUAUGCUAUUCGAAAGAUGAAAGUUUAUUUAUUUAUAAUCAAUUGAUAAAAAUUGAUUUAUGAGAUUUCUUUCUCUUCUUUUCGCACAAUUAUUUUAUAAAUUUUGGUUAAAGUCAUUAUUAGAUUAAAGUUAUAGACUUGCAACUUUUUGCAAUUGAAUAAUUUCAAUUGGAUUGUAUAAUUGGUUUUGAAAGUUAAUUUUCUUGAUAAUCGAAUAAAUGAAUGUUGUUAAGAUGUUUAUUCUUAGCACUAUUUGUUUUAAAUUUUCUAUUUGUAGUUAAAUGUAUAUGGAAUUAUCAUCUUUUGUCUUUAUUCAUGAUGAAUUAUAUUCACCAUUGAAUUCAAUUCAUAUAUACGAAUGAUUACUUUUGGUUUCUGCUAUAAUUAUUUUAUAUAAGUUUUAGUCCUUUCUUUUGUGCUCCUUAAGAACUAAAGAACUAAACAAGUGGAUUUAUUUCUUAUAACAUAAUGAUAAACGUAAUGAUACAUUUCUUGUCUUUUUUUGUCACUCAUUUUUUAUCAGCAUAAUAUUUUUCCUAAUUUUUUUUUCAAUUAUUGCUGGACUCUAGACUAUAUAUAGUUUAGAUAACCUGCGAAAUUUUUCGACAUAUUUGAUUGCAAUCUUGAUAUAGAUAGGCCGCUCCUUCGUCUCAAAAUCUGAAUAGAACAAUAUUUAUUAUUUGAAGCAGUUCUUUCGGGCAGUUAUCAAAAGAGGGCAAUUGCUUCGAAUUUGAUCAAUUGAGAUAUCUGGAAACAAUAACAAUAUCAAUAUAACAAUAAUAUAUAUAUUUCAUUUGAAUUCAAAGUGGAUUCUUAUUUUCUAUAUUCUAUAUUCUUUUUAGAUUCAAUUAGAUUCAAGGGCUAAGCACUGAAUAAAAAAAAAACAGACAAUAGAUUCAUGGGCCCCUACUUUAUAAUAUAAUGAAAGGCAUGCUUGAUAGAAAGAUUAGAUCACAUAAAGUCAACGAAGUUGCAUAUUAUAUUUUUCCCAAAAUGGAUCCUGGAGGAAGAGUGUUGCUAAAUUUAGACCGUCCGAUAUUUCAUAUGGGGUUACAGGUCGAACCAAAACAAAAUACUUUUUCUUGGUAGGUGUGAUCCGUUGGACAUAGAUCAAAUUUUUCAAUUUUUUUGAUUCCUUAGAGUUUGUUUUUCCCGUUCCUGGUGGUAUCAAGAUGCCACUGUGUCGAGAUAUCUUAUCUCUUUCUCCGGGAAAAUAGAUAUUACCCGAAAAAUUUUCAGUUCAAUCAUUUUUUUCUUUCCACUCGAACCAAUCUACCCACUUGGCUUCUUGUAUUUAAAGUGAUUUGGGUAUCUACUCCAAUGAUACUAUUGUUCCGUACCAUUAUGGAAGAAGAUUCAGAUAAAAUAUGCACUUCCUCGGGAAUGAAAAAAAAUCAAUCUACUUUCAUUUAAUAUUUUGGCUUAACCUUUUUGACUCAUCGAUACUCAAUCACAUCCUCCCUUUUGACGAUUGAAUGCGCCCCUAGAGUCCCAUAUUUAGUAAUUCCUGAACUCUUUCUUCUGUCAAGUGGAAGUGCAGUGAUGUAUGCAGCUGAGGCAUCCUAACAAACCGGUAGACUUGAACCUUGUUCCUACAUGACCCGAUCAAUUCGAUCAGGCACUCGCCAUCUAUUUGCAUUGUUCAACUCUUUGACAACACGAAAAAUCCAUUGUUCAACUCUUUGACAACAUGAAAAAACCAAGAGCUCUGCUCUCUCUCUCUAUCUAUCCAUGGGAUGGAAGGGCGGAGGCCUUUGGUGUCCCCUCCAGUCAAGAAUUGGGGCCUCAUAAUCACUAGCCAAUAUGCUUUUCCUUUUCUCGCAUGCCUUUCUUCGUUCAUGGUUCGAUAUUCUGGUGUCCUAGGCGUAGAGGAACAACACCAAUCCAUCCCGAACUUGGUGGUUAAACUCUAAUGCGGUAACGAUACUGUAGGAGAGGUCCUGCGACAAAAUAUCUUGACGUCAAGAUGAUAAAAAGCUUAACACCUCUCAUUUUUAUUAACCCGACUAAAAUUAAAAUAUUUGGGAUUUUUUUUAAUAUGGUGACUAUGAAUUUUCAUAAGUGGUUGCGCAUAUGAAGGCUUUUAUACAAUUUGAGAUUCUUUUUAUAUUUAAUGGUUAUGGAUUUUUUUUAAGUAUUUGUGCGUAUAAAGAAGUUUUAUGAUAAUGUCUUUAGUCAUGAAUAUAAAUUUGGGUUUACAUGAAAUAUGUAAGGCAAGCUAGUAUUAUUUUUUCUAUUAUUAUAAUUGUGUAUAUAUUGUGUCUAUAUAUAUUAUAUGCAUAUCAAUGAUUUUGAGGAUUAAUGCAUGAUUAUAGUUGGCGUGAAUAGGUGUUUAUAACCAUUAUUCAAUAAGAUAUCUUUAAUAGUUUAAUUGGUGAUAUUAAGUUUUGAUGAAUAUCGUUGAAGUUGUUAAUUUUUUUUUUGUUAUGGUUAUAUAUUCAAUUUAAUGGGUGCUUUGGUGCAAGAUGAAUUCAUCUUUCAUGUUUAAUAUUUUGCAUCAUAGUUGCUGUUGAAUUUUACCAAUUGUGCCACCUAUUUUGAUUCCUUUUCUUGGUGCAUAAUUGCUUAUUUUAAAGUUAUUAAUAUUAGUCAAUGAAUUUCAAUUAUCUAUAUUCCAAGACACAUACAUAUUUAAAUAUUUUGGUUUUAAGUUUGGUUCUAUAAUCUUAGUUUGGUUAAAUUAUGAUGAUAUGGUUUAUUGUAUGAAUUAUGAGAUAUGUCAACUAUUAUGAUUUUAUUUUUUUGAGAUUUAUUGGCUUGAAAAUAUUUUUCAAUGAUUCAUGUGAAUAUCAGUUUAAUCAUAAAUAUAACUUUGGAUUUACAUGGUAAAUUCAAUGUAAGUUUUUCUAUUUGAUUAUGAAUACAUGUAUAUGCAUGAAUUGCUUUGGUGUUUUUGUCCAUGCCAAAAUUAUGAAUACAUGUGUUUGUUAAUUAUUUGGCUUUGAACCACUACAUUAUUUAUGUUUGGUUUUGAUAUAUAUGGUUUUGGAACAAAAAAAAACCAAUCAAAGAUUAAGAUUUUCGAUUUUUUAUUGCAUUAUUAAGACAACAUUAUUUUGGGUUAUUUUGAAAUCUAUAAAGCAAUAAAAAAAUAGUUUUAACAUUUGACUAUUGGGUAAUUUUUAAUUUUGAAUAUUGGUAUGUUUAUAUAUAUUUUUAAAUAACUUAAUUGAAGCAAUAAGUCACCAAAGUGAUUUUUUUUGUAUAAAUUAUUUUGUUUUAAAAUAUAAAAUGUUGUGUGCAUGUAACUUAAGUUAUGUUAAUAUUGAUCGGCCUAAAUGAAAGUUAAUGAUAUUACAUGUGCAACUAUGGUAAUAAACAUGUGACAAUUAUUCAGUUUUACAUUUGAGCAAUAAUUUGGCCCUAAGGAAGAUUUAUGGUUCGACAUGUUCUUAUUGUCAAUGUUUGAUUAUUACACUAAUAUAUCACUUACAAGUUAAUAUUUUUUCUAAAGAUGAAAUAUUAAUGGAGUGUCUGAUAUGAUGAGGUUUACCUUUAUUCAAAUUAUUUUGGUUUAAAUUUGAAGUCUUAUGUGAGAUUAUUUAUGGUUUAUGAUUUAUUCAACUAUUAUUAUUGUCGAAACCAUUUUUUUGAAAACAAAAAUUUAGUUAUCGAAUUUUUAAAAAAUAAAACUGGAGUCGCCACCGAUCCGUGAUUUAGGUGUGAUCGGCCCACCUUAAAAAAAAUUUGGUCUACGAGAUUUGAGAAAACGGGUUCGGGAGUCAGUUACGCACGAGGAAGGGUUAGCACCCUCGUAACGCCCAAAAUUGGUACCGAAUUUGAUUAUUUAAUGUCUUGGUGUCGAAAAUUAAAAAGAUUUUGUUAAACUCAAAUGUUGAAAUCUGAAAAGGAUAAUCGAUUAUUCAAGUCAGACGAAGAAUUUGAGACCCAAUACGUUAGGGUACAAUUUCUCAAAAUCCUCGAACUUUGAAUAUCACUUUUGCUUUAUAAGUAAAUCUUCAUUUCGAUGAAGCAAUUAUAUCAUGACCAAUACGUUAGGACAUAACAAAUUAAACUCCCCAAAAAUGAUUUUUACUUAUACAUUUUGAACAACGAAUAUUCUCGGUUAUUUGGGAAUUAACAAAGAAAAUCGGAACACAAUACGUUAGGGCUCAAUUUCCUCGAAAAUCCCUAACUUUGAAUAUCGUUUUUAUUUUAAAAGCCUUUGGAUCAUAAAAACGAUUUUAAUAUUUUGACAAAAUCAAAAUAUAUUUUCUUUAAAAAGUAUAGUAAAAUGCUAAUGUACACAUAAAACCAAUACUUUAAUUUUAAAUUAUAUGUAUAUGUAUUUUCAAAAUAUCAGUAUGAUACAUAAAUAAAUUUUGGAAACAUGUAUAUGCAUAUAUUAAAACAAGUACAUAUAAGUAUACAAAAAUAAAAAAUGAAUGAAAUAUAUAAAACAAAACAAAAUCUUAUUAUAAUUUCUAAGAAAAUAUGUAUGUAUAAAUGAAAAUAAGAUAAAAAUAUAAAAUUAUAUAUAUGUGUAUAUAUUUACAAAGAAAAACAAAAAAAAAUAUAAUAUAUAAAUAAACUACGAAAAUAUAUAUAUGUAUUUGAAAAUAUGUAUGAAUUAUAAAAUGUAAAUGUAUAUAUACAUAUAUAAACUAUAUAUAAAAAACUAAGAAGAUAAUAUAAUAAUAAAAUAUAUAAAAUAUGUACAUGUAUUUUAAAAACAUUUAAAAUAUAUACAUAUAUUUAUUAUAAAAUACAAACAUAUGCGUGUAUAUAUGUAUAAUAAUAAUAAUAAUAAUAAUAAUAAUAAUAGUAAUCCAUAAUAUAAUAACAAAAAUAACAGCAGCUUAAUAACAAUAACAAUAUUAACAAACUAAUAUAUAAUCUAAUUUGUAAAAGCAAAUACAAUGGACUAAAUUUGAAUCAAAACAGAAUUAAAAACACAAAAUCAAAUUAAAGCAGAAGAUGAAUUUGCAAAAUGCGUGCAACAUGGAGGGCCAAAAGGGAAAUUAAUCCCACCCUUCCAAAACGUUGUGCAGCAUGGGAUUAAAAUAGAACAGAUUUAAUAUGUCAUGGAAAAAUUUGAAAACGAUAAAAACAAUGGUUUUGAAAUGAUGAAAAACAUGAAAGGAUUAAAAACGUAAAUAACCCAUCAAUGCUUAAAACCUAUUUCAAAUCCUAAUUAAAAUCUCUAUUCCAUCUGCAACUUCAACAGCCACUUUCAUCUUCUCCUCUGCUUUUCACGCCUAAAUCCCCCCUUCAACUUUGAUUCCGACGAAGCAUAGCAAGGGCAUCGACAGCGCACCAACACUGGUAAGAACCUCUUCUCUUCCCUUCUUUAUACAAGGAAAAAUAAAAAGAAAAACAAAUAAAGAAGCUAGGAAAAAGAAGAACCAAAAUCGUCACCUUCAAAACUGUUUUUUUUAAUCCUGUUGUGUUUCUUCAAUCUAUUAAUACAAUAUUGUUUUUUUUCCAAUCGAUUUUGCAAUCAACUCUUUAUAUCCCAAAACAAUAAUAAAAUAAAUAAUAAAAAUCCAAAAAAUCCCCCUUCACCAAAAACAAUCGGCCCUCUUUAUAGCCGAAUUUUUACAAGUCAAAAUCACAAUCUUUUACAAGUUGUUGUUGUAUAUUCGGUCAUUGCCUGUUCUUGGUUCGUUUGUAGGACGAACGUGCAUGGUGGACGCGAGGGAUCGCUAAACGUGGGUGAUUGUGACGUGGGGCGAUAGGGUCGUUGCUGCAACGUGGGAGCAGCGACGUGGGGGCGAUGGUGGCGCCUGGAGUGUUCGGCUGCUGACUUGCUGCUAACUGUUGGGGUUUCUGCUGUUUGUUUUCUUGGUGUAAUGGGCUUAGGGUUAGGGCCUAGUGUAUUAGGCCAAGGGUAUUUGGGCAAUGUAAUUUUUGGACAAUUUUAUUGUUUUUUUUUAUAUUUAUUUAUGUGGGCCCGGGCCUAAAAUUGGGUAUUACAAUUAUAUUUGCCAACAUCAUUGUAUGUUGUUUUGGGAUAAAUAUAUAUAUACUAUUAUCUUUUAAUUUGAUUGAAAGAUGAAAUUAAAAGAAAUAUUUUGAAACAAAUAAAUUCAGAUUUUGGCUUUAGGUUUUAAUUAAAGAUGUGUAAUAUUUUAAAUAGAUUAGUUGAAACAAAAUGAUGCCAAAGUGACUUCUUUUGUGUAGCUUAAUUUAUUUAAAAUAUCAAGAUGAUUAUAUGUUUUUGUGAUUCAUGCGUUUAUUAAUUAACCCA